UAUGGUGUACAAUCUGGAUGCAAGCAUAUGCAAAUUUCUUAACUCUGUAAUCCACUAAGGCCUUGUUAAGUACAUAAUCCUUGCUAGCGAAAAUGCUCAACAUAUCCCCUAUAUAUGUAAGAGAGAGAAAGGUUAGAAAGUACUAACACUAAGAGAUAUGUGCUAUCAAUUAGAAACACUUUAAGAUGACAUUAUCAAUUAGAAAACCAAGUAUUAAGCAGCAUAAGGGAAAAUAACAAACAAGGGCACCACAGUGGUUCAGAAACCAAUCAAUAUUUCCAUUUGUCACUUUUAUAAUAAUUUCCCAAGGGAAAAUCCUCAUAAUAAGCUUGAGUACCACCUAAUAACGUGUUCAAAUGUUACCAUAAGCAAAAAUGAGUGAUCCUAAAAUUCAUAUGACAAGGAAAGUCGUCAACUAGCAAACCGCCAAAUAACAGUUAUAUGGCUAGAAUUAGUUUUCUCCAACUUCAAGAAAAUAAAACAUAUUAAAACAAAAGGAAUUAUGGUGCAAAAUAAUGAAUAUGCUGCAAAGGUAAGAAGUUUCUGAAGGUAAAAAUGGUCAAUAAAAAACAACAUAUAAUUUGACGUAAAUCAAAGUAGAAUUAUUUCUCGCAAUGAAUUCUCUGCCAAUAAUGGCUAAGAGAAGGGGUAUUUAUUGAGAAUUAGUUAACCAGGCAGAAAUCAUCUAGGGCAUAGUAUUGUUUUAGGUCUGCGACAUUAAAAACAUAAUGAAUGUGUAAGUCUGGUGGUAGUUCUAUUUUGUAAGCAUUAUCUCCGAUCCUCUUUAGGACACGGAAUGGUCCUAAUUGUCUGUCUUUUAGUUUGUUGUAUGUUUCGAUUGGAAAUCGAUUUUUUCUUAGGUGAAUCAUUACUAAAUCUCCCUUGGUAAAGGUAGUUUGUCUUCUUUUUCUGUCUGUUGCGUCUUUGUAGGACUGAGUUGUUUCUUUUAGGUGAUUGUGGACUUCUUCGUGUAAAUUCUGGAUUUUUUCUAUCAUCUUUUCUGCCUCUGAUAGUUAGGGAACUCAACACAUUUUACUUGACCUAACCAAGAUGGCUCUUUGUAUGUAUAUUGCAUGUGUUGUUUGUUUUUUUCUAUAGCUCUUGAUUGUCUCACUUUUUUACGUUUUGCAUUUGCAAUUCUCUUUUCUUUCUUUGGUAUGCAAUGUGGUAACAAGGUCUUGCUAGAACCGGUGGGCUAACCUUUCUAUGGUUCUAAACUUAGUUUCUAAGUUUGACUGCUCCCUUCGGAGUGACAACAAGCCUCGUUUUCCCCUACUAUGGAACGGGGAGGAUUCAUUUUCUUUUCAAAGCCCUCGUCAAACUCAAUGCUAAGUUUGACUGCUCCCUUCGGAGUGACAACAAGCCUUGUUUUCCCCUAAUGUGGAUCGGGGAUGAUUCCUUCUCUUUUCAAAGCCCUCAUCAAACUCGAUGCUGUGCUUAGAACGCUAAGAGUAGGUGGUCUGGUUUUGGUUAGGCCAAAAGUGAAGUUUUCCCCCAUUUUUUAUGGGCUUUUUCUAAUGUAUAUUGGAUAUGUUGUUUGAUUUUUUUUAUAGCUCUUGAUUGUCUUACUGUUUUAUGUUUUGCAUUGUCAAGUCUCUGUUUUCUUUCUUUGGUAUGCAAUGUGGUAACUAGGCCUUGCUAGAACCGGUAGGCUAACCUUUCUAUGGUUCUACAUUUAGUUCCUAAUUAAGUUUGAUUGCUCCCUUCGGAGUGACAAUAAGUUUUGUUAAUGUCGACCCUUUUCUAAAGGGAUUUAGUUCACUGUGGCUAGGCAAGAGGUUUCUAACUCAUGUUUGACAAGACAAAUUUGUUAAAACCAUCUUAGUUUCUAAAGAGUGCCUCCUAUCCCUUUUUUACUCUAUCUAGGCUAGGUUUGGACUAAGUGCAUCAUAGGUAAGUCACGACAAAGCAACAAAGGAAGACAAAGCUAGAAAAGUAUUCAUGCACUUAUUUAUUAUACAUGCAAUCAAGCAUUCACAACAUACAUACCAUUUUCUCAAUCAUGCAUUCACACCUCAAUAAGAAAUAGCUAAAAGGAGCUUACAACAAAAAAGACAGCCGCUUAUUCUCAAAUUUCAGCACAUAUACUCAUCAAAAUUUAGAAUUUCACAUUGCAAACCCGAGCUCAGUGCUCAAGGGUUGCCAAUCAUGCUUUUUAUGCAAGAUCUAAUUAAGCUAAGAAGGUAUAAUGCUCAUUUUGUAUGGAAAGAAUUCUGAAAUUUUUUUUAAAUUUGGGCAAAAUUUGAACCCCGAAGUUUAGACUAAACAUGCAAGCUAAGCAAGCUAUUACCCACACCCACUCAAAAAAUUGCUUUGUCUGUCCUAAAAGCUUUUGAAAAUCAAAGUAAAUGGAGAAAAAUAAGGGGGGAACUUUGGACUCCCCUAGAAGGAUCGACAUCCUUGACUUUGGUUUGAAGCUUGCAUGGAUAAACCUUUUCAUUCCUUUUUAAUUGAUUAUUCAUCCUUGUUCCUGAAAAUCAAAGGAAAUUCUCUCAAUUUUAUAUAUUACUAAAAUUAGGAUACAUAUAAGUCUUAACUAGUCUAAUAGCACCCUCCAUUCAUCUUCCCCUACACUGGCUAUGGUAUCAAAAUUUUCAAUUAAGUAAUACGUCUACUAACGAACUUGAAAACAAAACACAUCACACUAAAAAACACAAACAUCACUUUAACCCAACAGAAGCUGCUCUUUUUACCCUUGCACUCACUAUCACAUUACUAUCAUGUUUGUCAACUGUCAAACUAACUCUUUUAAGUUAUUUAGUGUGACUACAAAGUUAUGAACACCAUAAUCUUAAUUAAAACCUUUUAAUAAACAAAUGCCAAGUUACUACUCAACAAUGGCAAGGAAUUCAAAAAACAUGACUGUAACGACCCAACUUUUCUAGGUAAGUCGAAGUCAUUAAUUUCAAAUAAGGACCUGAGUUUACACAAAAUCUCAAUCUCAAACAAUUUCAAAGUCUCAAGAAAAACAAAAAUUUAUAUCUGGGCCCUGUUUAAAAUAACCAGCACCUUCAAGACAAAUUUACUAAUUCGUGAAUACAAUUCAACUAUAAAAUUUUCUAAACAAUCUCAAGUACUAAACAAAACACGUGAAACAAAACAUUUAGCGGAAGCAAUUUAAAAUAACCCCUAUGGCAAUCACGCUUCCUUUCUGCCCCUCGCCGGUUUGCCGUCUUUAUUAUCUUUGCCUGAAAAUUAAAUAUAAGGAGGGUGAGUAUAAAAAUACCCAGUACGAGACCCUCUACUGGUCCCGUCAGGGUAAAAUAAAUUGUUAACAUUCUAUUGGGACACCCUGUACAGUCACAGUCUUGUGAUCCCGUAGGAUGCACAUUUCAGUCUAACGCCCCGAGGGACGUACAUUUCAGUCUAGUGUUCUGCAGAAACACAUAUCAGUCUAAUGCUCUUGAAGGUGCAGAAUAAUUGGUGAUCCGUGUGACACCUACAAGGCACACAUCCCAAUAAAAGCUAACAAUUUUUCCCCUCAGUCCAUUCUAAACAUCUUAACAGUCAUUCACAGAUCAGUUAAACAUUCUCAUCACGUAAACUCUUUAUUUAACCUCAAACAGUCGUCUUACUCUAAUUUAGUCCAAGGUCAAUAAAAAAACAUAUCAUUACAUCAGUUAACAAGCUAAACAAUCAUAACCUCCUCCUCAGUCACCAAGGGCACCACCAUGACGUUUCUUCCGUUCACAAGCACACAACAUAACAGUAGAUUAUACACUCAGUCUAGACAACAAUCAAUCUACUAAUCAAAUCCACACUUUAUAUAAGCAACAUCUACGAGAUUCAGUCGUUUCCACAUCCUUAUCUUUGUACACAUACAUAACCAGACAGUCAUAACAUAUACUCAACCACAGUCUACAUCAAUCCAUGCACAUAUAUGUAUUAAUUUCUCCCAGUCAAACAUAGCAAACAUUAAACUUUAAGUCAAUGCCCAAACAUACAUCAUAACAGUCAUCUCUACUCAGUUCAAAUCAAUACAUCUUAAUUAGUCAUUAUAUCUUAAUUUUAUUGUUGAGUCUAGUAGAAAAUCCCUUACUUUCAAGUUAGUUAAGCUCCUUAACCACGUUGAAGUCUACGAAGAACGAACCUAAACAUUAAGACAAUUUCUCAAUAAUUCUCAUCAAUCAUUUAAAUUCAACCCAAUGUGAUUUUUUUUUUACAACUUACCCAAAUCUUCACAAAACGAGUUCCAACUAGAAUCAAUUGUUUGGUGCGAACCCAAUGAAUUCGAGUGUUACCUUCAACCUAUAAUCGAUAUAAUCGAACAGUAAACGAUUUAUCCAACCAAUUAUUCCAGCAAUAUUACUUGAGUUUAUUUUGGAAACAGUUACAAAUUUCAUAACUUCAAUCUUACCAAUCAAAAUUUAAUGACUCGUGGCAAAGCAGGAACGACAGCGAACAACCCAAUCGAAUGGCGUGGGUUUGCUACCUGCGGCAGGACGAAGAAGGAACUCGACGCGCAGAAAGUUGGAUCUGGGGUCUUUAGUUCGGUUCACGGUAGCGAAUUAAAACCUGAUUGCGCGGACGUCAAAGGUGUUAUUCGCGGAAGAAGUCGAGCAGCAGCUUUGCGAAGAGACGACGUGCGACGGAGAGACUGUAUACAGACGGACGGAGAGUCGCGCGGCAGUGCAGAAAACGGAGGAGAAAGGAAUGGGCGGCGGCUGGGCUUGGCUUCGACGGAGACAGAGGCGAUUAGGACGGGGCACGGCGACGCAGAUCUGGACGACGGCGCGGAGACAGAGGUUGCGCGGCGCUGGGCAGAGGGUCAAACGGCGCUGGGCGAAGGGUCACACGGCGCUGGGCGGAAGGUCACACGGCGGCCUUGCUUCGCGAACAGAGAUGGCGGCCGACGGUUGCAGCGGCGGCUGGGUAUGGUAGAAAAGAAAGAGAAACGGAAGAAGAAUAGGGGCGGCGACCGUGGAUCGGAGAAGAAAAGAAGGAUGAAAGCGAUGGUGGCCGGUUGGAGGGUGCGGCUGGAGGUAGGGAUCGGUGAAGGAGAAAAUAGAAAAAGAAAAUGAAGGGGAAAUGGGGGUUGCGCGCGGGAGGAAGAAGAAAGGAAAAAAAAUUCUUUUUUUUUUUUCUUUUCUUUUAUUUAAAUUAAAUAAUAAAACUAAAAUAUGUGUAUUGAUCAAAUGACCCAUAUCAAUAAGGACACAAAAUUGGCAAAGAACAAAUAAAUUAAAAUGGACAAUAACUCUUGUUUCAUUACUUUCUCUCUCAUUGGAGUUCUUUUGUUCACCAUCAUUUCAAAUGUGGCAUCAUCUAACGACGUUGUUUCUACCAUCUGUUCAGAAAUCUCAAAUCCACAAUUUUGUUUAAGUGUGUUGAAAUCUGCAGGCACUACAGAUCUAAAAGGCUUGGCUGUAUACACCUUAAACCUUGCUCAUUCAAAUGCUGGCAAAUCUUUGAUCCUAGCCAACUCACUAGCAAAAGCCACCACCAAUCCUCAACUUAAGCAACGAUAUUCAUUUUGUGCUGAGAGCUAUGAUGAAGUUGUUGGUGACAUUGAAAAUGCUCAAAAACGACUUGGCACUUGGGGACUUUAUUGGUGUCAUUAUUGCAACUACUGGUGCCAUGACAACUCUUGGUGAUCACUGUCAGAAUAAGCUCUUGCAGCCGCCGAAGGAUACAUCGUUGCUUUUAAAGAAUAGCAACACUCUAGAUGAUAUAAUUUAGCAUUAUUAUGGUUAUAUCCGAUCAUCUUUGAGGGUUAUGUACUUGAACAUUUUGAUCAAUAAAUAAACUGAAGUUUAAUUUUUAAAAUAAUAUUACAAUGUGAUGGUGAUUGGAAUUGAUUACUUACUUUGAUUAAACUUGAGAAGAUAAGAAAAUCAAUUAAUAGAAACGUUCACCGACACACAUUGUCAGCACGUCGGAGAAAGCCUAAACUUUUUUUUCUUUUCUUUUACGUUCUGUUUUCUUUUCUUUGUUUGCCAUCAUCAUCAUCAUCUUCUUCUAGCUUCUUACGUUCUGUUUCAAUUGCAUACUUCUGUUAUUCUUGUAAUUUCUUCGUGGUUUUCUUUUUAACUUUGUGUUUCAGUGUGGAUUCAUAAACACAUUUUUCAGUGCUCUGGAUUCUGGAUCUGUUAUGAUUUUGAAAGGGUACAGUGAAGUGAAAAGUUGAAAUGGAAAAGAAAAAAAGAAGAAAAGAGGACACUUCUCGCGGUGGUGGCGGCAAAGACUGACGUCGACGACAACACAACUCUCCUCCUCUCCCUAUAUCUCGGCCGAUUUUGGGUUUAUUUUCGUUUUGCAUUCUGUUAUGUGUGGAAGGGAGAAUAAAUAGUGUGGACUUUCCCCGACGUCUUCGAAAACGUUGGGAAAUUUACCUUUCGCCGACGUAUGUAGUACACACGUCGGAGAAAGUUUAAAUAAUAAAUUCAUUAUUUAAACUUUCCCCGACGUACUCCUGUCAUACGAGUCUAAAUUAAAUUUAAUGCGUUCUCCUUCGGCGAUGUGUGUCAAGGUGACGUUGGAAAAAGUUUAAACACUAAUGCAAUUAUUUUAAAUCACAUAUGUUAUCGCUUAUAUGGCAUAGGAGUCUAUUAACGAUAGAAAUCUAUCUUGAUAGGUUUUUGCUACAUUUACAAUGUUUAAAAAAUAUUCUUAUAUACUUAACUAUUAUUCCUAAAAUUGCUAACCCAUUAUACUUACCCUUAGUUAAAUGUAUAAUGUCAAAAGUAAGUUUACUACGAAGGUAAUCUAUGUGACCCUUUUAUCCUAACGUAGGAAGUUUGUUCCACUCCAUACCAUUAUUGAACUAAAAGGAUUAAGUGUGUAUUAAUAUGUUUAAACAAGUAUAAUUAUAAGCAAAAUCUAUAAGUGAUAUAUUGAUAUUAGCAAUACAAUACGCGUCACAUAUGCAAACAUUUUGUGUCUAAUCGUUGUAUUUACAAUUAACUCCAUUAAAAUAUUACAAAUAGAAAUAGAACUCUUUAACCUAUGUUCAGUUAGGAUCACAAACUACAAAAUGAAAGCAUGGAACAAAUUUAAUUUUUUUUUUCUUUAAAGGAAAUUUUGUGUGUAGCACAUUAUAUUUUUUUCUUUCCUUUAAAAAACAUUAUUGAUCUUAUGAUAUUUGACAUAUAUUAUAUUUUUUUAAGAAUGUAAAUAAUGUAAAUAAUGUGCCAAAUAAUUGAAAACAUGUUAUCCAAAACAGAGAAUGGUUAAGAAAUUGUUGACAUUUAGUCAAAUUAAUAAAUAAUUCAAAAUUGUGUUUGAUUUUUGAAUUUGAAAAGAUAGUAAAAUUAGAAGUGUUUUGAAAUAGUGUUUACGAGAAGAUUUUUAAUUUUAAAUAGCAUUAUAGUAGCUAUGGAUGGUUAUAUAAUAGUCUACACAAUCUUUGUCACAAAUGAUUAAUUCGAUUUUUUAAAUCAAGUCUAAUGUUUUUUUUUUUUUUUUGCCUAUUUCUUACCCAUAAUUUUUACAUUUUUUGUAAGUAUAAUGGUUGAAUGCAAAAAGAGAGCUGACUAGUAAGUGCAAAAAGAGAUCUCACAAGCUUCUGCAAAAGCUAAUCAAGCAACCCAAAUCAUAAACGAGGAGAAAAGUUGAUUGGUUAAGCUUUGUUGUAGUAAAGAAGAAGUCAAAGUGAACAUGGAACGUUCUUCACUCUCAAAGAACAUCGCCAACAUAUAGAUUAUAUACUUUUUCUGGUAUUGACCCAAAAAACACAAUCCAAGUGUAUUUUUGGUGAGAUGCAUAGUUUAACUAAACCGUGUUAUUACAAAAUUUUUAAUUACUAGGAACUCCUAAUGAAACGAAUACAUUAUUUUUAUAAUUACGAGGUAAAAUGGAAACAUACAAACUACUAAAAAAAGUUGCAAUUCGAUUAUUGGGAUUCAAUCUACUCUCCAUGAAUGUUUCUUGAAAUGAGAGUUUUUAAGCAGCUACAACUUGCUUAUGUAUAAAAGCAAAACCCUUUCUCAACGCCUACCUUCAGUUUUGGCUUUAGAGCUUCAAGUGAUUUUUGCCCCUACUCAGAUAAACCCUGAAGAUCAGAUGUUACAAAGGCUUCAAUUCCACAUGCAAAAAUCAUGUUCAUGAACCAAAAGCACCUUAAGCUUCUCUUCGAUAUCUUUGAGCUCACUGGAUAAAGAACUGAUUUCUAAAGCAAUCAUCUCUACCCAUAUCCUCAUCGUUCCCACUGUCUUUUAAUAAGGUUGGCAUGAUAAUCACAACAAAAGAAGAAGAAACUAAGAUCAAUUUAACAAAUUUUAUGUUGGGAAACUUUUUUAAGAACAACUACUUAUAAACCAACCUUAGCUUUGGCCUCACAUUCCUUGAAUUUUCUAAAAGUAGAUACCACCUGUCCGGGCAACCCACACCAACCAACCAAGAGUAAGUUAGUGUGAAAGACACUUAUUUAAUGAAGAAUAUGUAAAAGAGGUCAUUCCAACUGUUACACAUAAUAGUAUUGGAGGCAGAUAACCUUGCCAUACCUCAUCAAGUUCUGAUAUUGAUUGAGCUAGUUUUUGAUACUCUGUGGGGUUUGAGACAAUAUCUGGAUUGACCAGCUUAACCUAAAUAAUAAUAUCGAUAGUGAUUAUUGUGUAGGAAAAUAUUAAAGCUAUAACCAAAUCAAAAGCAUAAUUGGAAAUACAUCAAAGAUGUAAAUGCAAAUUUCAAAAGUGGGAUCUACAGAAUGUAAGGGGAAGAAACUCAAAUAAAAUUACUUUAUUAUUAGUUAUAACGACUACUAAUAGAGAUUCCAGAUACACCACAGUUCCACGUCCUCUUUCAGGAGGAAAGCAAUGGUUAAAAAUUAAUUGUGAAAACUAAAGAAGGUCCUGUUCAAAUCCUAACAGCAAUAGGAAAGCAAGGAGUUAUAAGGUGAUCACUAUAGGCCAAAUCCAAAAUGCAUUCAAUAUUUGUCUUCCAAUUUCAUUAUCAAGUGCAUAGGCAAGGUCCCUAGUGAGGAAGUUAUUCGUUCUUUUCUUCAUUUUCUAUAGCUCUAGAAGUAGCUAAAUGGAAUCGUCAAGCACCUAAUCUAUUAAUUUUAAAACUCAAAAGUUCACCGCGGGAUUCUAGUCACUGCUGAAACAACAUAGAGUUCACUAGUUCCACAGUUAAAUUAAUUGCAAAUUGCAUUUCCUGGCAUUUUCAAGAAAAAAAAAAUGCACAAAUCAUAAUAUGAUGAAGUAGAAAAAUUUUGUGAGCUCGACUUUUCCAGGACAUAUCUUAGCUACUUCUCCUAUUCCAGCUCGAUAACCAUUGUACUUUAACAAUUGAAACAUUAAUCCAAUAGUUAACAAUGUUCUGCACUUUAUGCCCUUUACAUUUCCAACAACUUGAUGCAUACAUCAGUAGUUAACACAGGCACGAGCUCUUAAAUUCAAUGCAAAAUAAACAGUCCCAUUCCAAGCAUAGACACCAAAUACAAACAAUUGAUGGACUUGAAUCAGUGAAGAAAUAAGAAUGUCAUUUAACAGCAAAGCACAAAUUACCGAUAAUUUUUUCCACGUCUUCUCAGCAGAUUCCAAUUUCACGAUCAAAUAAGGUUCCUAAAAUAAAGCAAUCACCAUCAUCAUUUUCCACAAAUAUGAUUCGAACUAGUUUUACCACAAAUUAAUUUCUAGUAACUUGAAGAAAAACUCAGUGAACUCAAAGCAUAACGAAACUCAAGUUCUGUUAAAGCCAAUCCGAACAAUAAGAUAUAGACAUAUUGUGUUCUCGAAAGAAAAACAUUCAAUAAAUCUAACAGCCAUGCAAAUUAGAGUUGAAGCUCUAAAGGGAGGUGCAAAGCAUUUUAAGUUCCAGAGAGCAUCUUCUGAAGGCGAUGAGCCCAUAAGAUGAAAAAAAGGCCUCAAGUGAGGAAGAAAGACGCCAUCCAAACAUGAAAAAAGGAAGAAAGGCAAGAUUUUGGUAGCUCCAGACCUGAGGGAAGCCAACAAGGUGGCGAGGGAGGCAAGGCCCCAAAGUUUUAGCAUUGCCAGCAAAGUGAAGGUAGAGAGGACCACAGCGACACUUUCCUUUCUGACGUGGCGCCUCCGAGAGUUUAUGGACGCCCCAAUUGGGGCGUUUGGAUGGAGUAAGUUCUUCAAGGGACUUCCAAGAUUCGAUGGAGGUUGUCAAGAAAUUCUACGCAUUCAGAUUACAACCACUACAAGGAAUUUCAGAUCAACCACACAACAAUUUAACACUAUUGGGAGAAUCCACGAAUUCUUGGUCAAGUAGAAGAACCUCCAUGUGGAAGAAACAAAUUGUGAACGUGUCGAAGACCUUGAAGUGUGGAAAUGGAAGAUCAAAGAGUUCCAGCUUCGCCAGUCGACAGGGACGUCAACUGUUUAAGUAGGGGAGAAUGUCAAGAGCAUGCUUGUCCAAGGCAUUGUUUGCCCAUGGCCGCAUGGCCGAACAUCCUCAAACCGCCUUAUAUUUAUGUCUUAUAACUUAGUUUAGCCAUUUUGUUUCCUUUUGUUGUCGCCGACCUAGGGUGUGACGUUUCAAAAUUUUCAUAUGCAAGUCUGUCAUAGCUAAAAAUGUUUAAAAUGUACUAUAGGGAAGACAUAGUAGUUGAAUCCCUGACCAAGCCUUGUUGCACUCUUUGCAUUCUAAUCUUUCUUUGCAAUUAACAGUCUUCAAUGCUUUCUUUAACAGAUGUGUUUUCAAUUCUUUUCUUCUCUUCUUGUCUUAUAAAAAUAAAUUUCUCUCAAAACAUGAAAGAGGCUAUACCGUACUGCGUGCUUUUUUUGCGACUUCUGGAUUUCAUACAGCUUACUUGUUCACCGAGCUAGAACAAACGUCGCAUAAUCACCAUCCCCUAUUUGAAAAUUUACGAUUAUGACAGCAUGCGGUGAGGUGCACGCGGCAUGUGUGGGCCCAAGCCAAGCAUGCAACUGGCAUUCUGAUACUCUAUGCACGUGCAUGCUGCCUGCGCCCAUGCCCGUGCAGCCAGCAUUGUCAUGACGUAGUUUUUGGGAUGUUUGGUGUUUUGGGAAAUUUUGAGCAAAUUCUGGAUGUUCGAGCAUGCGGAUGUUCUAUGCAAUGCAACCAGCAGCCCAUAUGUUCUAUGUUCUCUUUACGGUCGUAUGUGCACAUUUGGUUAACUCUACUACUACUAAUGGGAAAGUUGACGAGCCUAUGCUGAAUUCAUCAGGAAAGGUGUACUUUGUUGAGCCCAUUGAGGAGAAGGAUACCUUCUUUUUUUCGAAGAGGUGUUUCAAUGCCUAGGCCGUCUUUUGACAAUGAGGUGUUAAUAUUACCUAGACUUCAUGCUAAGAACGGGUUGUGAAUUUAUAAUCAAGAAUGCAGUUCGAGUAUCAUGUCUUUCAAAUGAUUUCCAACAGCUUGAAUGUUUCUAUAAGACAAGAAUUUAUGCUUAACUGUUUUAGAAAGCAUGUUUUAUAAAAAUUGUCACUCACUAAGUCUUUCGACUUAUCCUUUCAAAUCAUUUCUCACUUUUCAGGUAUGGAUUAUGCAUUCCCUAAUGUUAAGCGUAUUGCUUGCUGAGCCAACCAGUUACUAGAAAUUGUUAAGUCAUUUUGAAAGUUAGUUUUGACUUUGUAAGAAAAGUUCAGGAUGAGCAUGUCUAUGUUUAUUGUUAAAGUUCCAAUGUUAUAAGUUAGUUUAGUAAAAAGGUCACUGUCAUGUUUAAAGCUUCUGCUGAUGUAUCACAAUAGUUGUAACUAGUGGUUUAAGUUAUUAGUUAAAGCAUGUAGCUUGUGUAUCGCUGUUUGUUUUGAGCAUGCAUUCAUGUUGUAACUGGUAGUUAAGUUAGAAAGGUUAGUCGGUUGGUAAGUUUUGCCAAGGUAUGGCAAUCCUUGCCAACCCUCGCACCUUCUUUCAGAGCUAGAUGUUGUUCAGAAAAUAAGGAGCUUUGGGAGGGGGUGGUGACAACAACACCAUCCCACUAGAGUACGCAAAUGAUGCAUUAUUGUUUAAUUAAGUCAUAUAUAACUUCCACAAUUUGGAUAGGAAUUUAACUCAUUAGAAGGUGUCCUAUAGAAUUUCUCAGUGAAAAGUUCAGAGAAGCUACAAACAAAUGUCACUACCGAACAACAAUCAUAUACAUGGGUUAGGGCUUUGAGCAGCUGUGAACACAACUUAAUAAUAAAUAUGAAGUCGUCCUCUUUUCAUCAUUAGUCAGAAGAAUUCUUAAACUUUCUAAAAAUAAUUGUCAAAUAAUUGAUUAUAUAGUAUGCCAUUUAUUUGGAAUAUACAAUUUUUUCAUUACCAGGAAAGGAGACUUCUCACUAAGUAAAUGUAAAGAGACUAAUGCUAUAAUUUGAAUUGGAAAAUAUAAUUUCAUAAUUAAGCAUCGAAUAGGGACUAGUUAAGAAGUACACACUUUAGUUUGCCAGAGUCCAUGUUCUACACAUGUUAGCCACUCUGUCAUUGGUUUAGCAGUAAAACAAAGGAUGUGUUUAGGAAUGUGAGCCACACAAAAGGGAAAGAAAACAGAAGGCGCAGUGAGCCACACAAAAGGGAUCGAAACGAAUGUUCAGAAAUAUCGGAAGGAUCGAAGAAAUAUGGAAGGAAAGACGAGGAAAAAACAACAGACCGGAGCAAGUUCAAGAAGGUAGAGAUCCCGAUCUUCAAUGGAAUAGACCCCGAUUCAUGGUUAUUUUUCGCGCCGAUCGUUAUUUCAAAUGCAAGAUACACAAGUUGACUGACUCAGAGAAGUUAAUGGUAGCGGUAAUCAGUUAUUAGGACCAGCUUUGGAUUGGUAUAGAUCAAUUGAUGAAUUGGAACAAUUCAAGAGUUGGGAAGAUUUGAAGCAAAGGUUGUUGUCCGAUUUCAGAGACGAUUCGGGAUGGAACACUCGUAGGCAGAUUCUUAAGGAUUAAGCAGGAAACGACAGUAGGGGAAUAUAGAAACAGUUUCGAUAAAUAUUUAGCUCCGGUAGCCUUCCUCCAGACCAUAGUAUUAGAAGAAACCUUUAUGAAUGGGCUAAGCCCAUGGCAUAAAUCCGAAGUUGAAACGCUGGAGCCCAUAGGUUUGGCCAAAGAUGAUGUAACUAGCCCUGAAAUUGAAAAUAGAGAGAUGGUUCGUCGAGAAUGUGGGCUUAGUAGUGUUUCGGGAAUGAAUCAACAAUUCAAGCAUAAUAACGUAAAGCAAACCUCGACAGUAAACACCCAAUCAGAAACCCACGGAAGGGAGCUGGCCAAUGAGAAACGAUUACGUUAAAAAGAGUGACGGCAGAUGAAAAGAGGAGGGAAGGUCCGACCAAGCGUCUUUCCAACGCUGAAUUUCAAGCACGGAGGGAAAACGGUCUGUGUUUUCAGUGUGAGGAGAAGUAUCACGAGCUGGACAUAGGCGUAAGGUGAAGGAACAGAAGGAAUUACGGAUGUUAGUAGUAAAGGAAAUGGGAGAAGAACUGGAAAUCAUUGAGGAUGAACACUUUGAUGUGGAAAACGGAGGCCCAGACCAUUGAAAUUGAAAAAGUGGAGAAUAUGAAUAUAGAGCUGUCCAUUAACUCAAUUGUGGGGUUAUCCAACCCUGGAACCAUGAAACUGAAAGGGAAGAUAAAAGAGACCAAAGUGGUAAUAAUCAUCGACAGUGGAGCCACCCACAGUUUUAUUGCAAAAAAUUUUGUAACCACCCUUAGCCUACCAAUGACAGAAAAACGUCCAACUAUGGAGUGAUUUUGGGGAUCAGGGGUUGCGGUCAAAAGGAAAAGGAAUCCGCAGUAAUGUUGAAGUGACGGUAGGAGAGUGGAAAAUUACAAACAACUUUUUACCCUUGGAAUUAGGGGUGGUUGCACUCAUUGGGCAUGACUGAAUUUGAUAUGAAAAAUUUGGUGAUGACAUUCCGACAUGGAGGAAGGAAGAUAGAGAUAAAGGGGGACCCUAGUGUCACCAAAACCCAAGUGAGCCUAAAGUCUAUAAUUAAGACAUGGGGAGCUGAUAAUCACGGUUAUUUGGUAGAAUGUCGGGCCAUGGAGGGAAGGCUAGCUGAGGAAGGCUUAGAGGAUGAAGAAGUGCCAGCCACUGUUGACAACAUGAUCUCUCCUCUGUUGAGCAAAUUUAAUGAUGUUUUUGAUUGGUUGGAAGAGCUGCCUUCGAAGAGGAACAUUGAGCACCAUAUACCCCUUCAGAAGGGGGUGGAUCCAGUUAAUGUCAGACCUUAUCGUUACGCACAUCGGCAAAAGGAGGAAAUUGAAAGACUAGUUGAUGAAAUGUUGAAGACAGGCAUCAUAUGACCGGGUACCAGUCUGUAUUCCAGCCCAGUCCUUCUCGUGAAAAAGAAAGAUGAUAGCUGGCAAUUUUGUGUAGAUUAUCGGGAGUUGAACAAUGUCACUAUCCCAGAUAAGUUCCCAAUUCCGGUCAUAGAUGAGUUAUUCAAUGAGCUGAAUGGGGCCAACAUGUUUUCGAAGAUUUAUUUAAAGGCGGGUUAUCACCAAAUCAGGAUGCAUCUGAGAGGUGUAGAGAAGACGGCCUUUCGAACACAUGAGGGACACUAUGAGUUCUUGGUCAUGCCGUUUGAGCUAACCAAUGCCCCCUCUACGUUCCAAGCAUUAAUGAACCACAUCUUUAAGCCUUAUAUGAGAAGAUUCGUAUUAGUGUUUUUCGAUGACAUUUUGGUGUACAACAGGGGAGUAGAAGAACAUGGACAGCAUCUGGAAGUAGUCUUGGAGAUCCUUCGAGAGAAUGAAUUGUAUGUGAAUUUAGCCAAAUGUUGCUUUGCCAAAAGUAGAAUAGGUUAUUUGGGGCAUUUCAUAUCCGAAAAGGGAGCUAAAGUUGAUCCAGAAAAAAUAAGGGCAAUUAGGGAAUGGUCGAUUCCCACUAGUGUGCGAGAAGUUCGAGGUUUCUUAGGACUCAAUUGAUACUAUAGGAAGUUUGGGCAGAAUUAUGGCAGUAUCGAAAGCCCUUUGACACAGCUUUUGAAGACAGGAACUCAUUGUUGGACUGAAGAAGCAAGUGCUGCCUUUGAGAAGUUGAAGAUGGCAAUGAUGAUUCUACCGACGUUAGCUAUGCUGGACUUUAAUCUACCACUCGAGAUAGAAACAUAUGUAUCUUGUUUUGGUGUGGGGCCGUUUUAGUACAAGCCAAGAGACAAAUAUCCUUCUUUAGUAAAACCUUAUGCAUGUGGGAUAGAGCGCGACUGGUUUAUGAAAGAGAAUUGAUAAUAGUAAGUGUUUUGCGGUGCAAAGGUGGAGACCAUAUUUGUUAGGGAAGAAAUUUACAGUGAAAACUGAUCAGAAGUCGCUCAAAUUUCGGCUAGAACAAAGGGUGAUUCAACCCUAAUACCAAAAAUGGAUAGCCAAUCUUUUGGGAUAUUUCAUUUGAGGUAGUCUGCAAUCCUGGGAUUGGAGAAUAAGGCAGCCGAUGCUCUAUCUAGAACACCCCGUAUAGUGCACUUAAAUCAAAUAUCAGCCCCAACACUACUCGAUUUAGUGGUGAGUCAAGAAGAGGAAAAGAGGGAUCAAUACCUACAGGAAAUCCAGAAGAAAAUAGAAAGAACAAAAAGUGAAAGUUCCAAACUUUUCAGUACAGCAAGGGGUAUUGAAAUACAAAGGAAGGUUGGUGAUGUCAAAAACAUCCGUUCUACUACCCACUAUUCAUGCAUACCUAUUCAUGAUUUUGUCUUUGGAGGACAUUCAGGGUUCCUAAGAACGUACAAGAGGAUGACCGGAGAGAUUUACUAGGAAGGAAUGAAGAAAAACAUAAAGAAAUACUAUGAAGAAUGUCUUGUAUGCCAAAGGAAUAAAACACUUGCAUUAUUACCUGCUGGAUUGCUGCUGCCACUUGAGAUUCCUAACACAGUGUGGUCGGAUAUUUCCAUGGAUUUUAUAGAUGGACUUCCAAAAUCAGCUGGAAAAGAAGUGAUUUUUGUGGUUGUAGAUUGUCUGAGUAAGUAUGCACAUUUUUACAGCUAUAAAUCAUUCUUACAUGGCCAGCUUCGUAGCAGAAGUUUUUGUUAAAGAAGUGGUGAGAUUGCACGGGUAUCCGCAGUAAGUUGUAUCGGAUCAAGACAAAAUCUUUAUUAGUCAUUUCUGGAAGGAAAUGUUCAAGUUAGUGGGAACUAAAAUAAAUAGAAGGAAAUGUUCAGGUUAGUGGGAACUAUGCCCAUAUACACCAAGUUCGAAUAUAGAACUUGCUUCUUACUGAAAAAAUAAUGAUUAUUGGGACUUGCUAUAAAGGGUAUCCAAUACUCGAAGUAAAUGAAUGAUUACAAAAUGAUUGUUUCCUCAGUUUGAAGAAGAACAACAAAAAAGAAAAGAAGGAUAAAAAAAAAAAAAAACAAACUUUCUUUUUGAAAUUCUAAAAGAAUCCAAAAAGACUUCAAAAGGUGCAACCAAGAAAGGAGGUCAAAGAAGGGCUCUGAUAGACCCCCCUAUCAUACGUCAAUAUAGUCGAAAAAAAAAGAGAGAGAUCACAAGGGAACACACAUGCGAAGAAGAAAAGAUUUAAAGGACUGUUAGAAGAAAAGAUUUAAAAAGCUUGUUGGGCGUCGGUUAGAUUUGAGGAGAUUUAGGAGGGUCGUUAGGUGUUGAUUAGAAUAAAUAAGGAUAGGGAGGAAAGAGGAGGGUAUGCUGAGUUUAGAAGAAAAUUGACUCAUGCUCUUCCUUGAGCGAUAGGAUAGCAGAGAGGGAAUUAGAUUGUUUUUCGAAUUGAGUCCUCCUCAAUUUGAGUGUUCUGAUAUUUUGAUUUUCCUUGUAACUCAUUCUUUGAUUGAAGCAAUAAAAGUUCUAAUUGGAUUUCCAAAAGAGUUCUAUCAAAUUGGUAUCAGAGACAGUUUUUUCUGACCAAGAGGAAAAUGAUGGUCCAAACACGAAUGAAGGAGAGAAUGGAGGCGCACGACCAGGAGAUGCAUUUGAUGAGAAGCGAGAUAAGCAAAAUUUCGACAAUGAAAGAAAUAUUAGCCACGAUCAGCGUACAGACAAAGAAGACUCACAAAAUGUUGAUAAUGUUCAUGGAAUCGAUUACCAGAGAGCAUAUCGUUAUGAGUGAGAAAAUGGCCGAGUCGAGUGUGCGAGAGACAGUAUCAACAAUAACGAAUAAGAAGGAAGGCUCGAUCGAAAAGGACCAUGAGCACGAAACAAAGGAUGGAAAGAUAGAAGGAGAAGACGGAGCGAACGAGCAUAAUAAGUUCAAGAAGGUUGAGAUGCCAGUUUUCAACACGGAAAAUACCCAAUUUUUGACCCUUUCGAGCAGAUAGAUAUUUUCAGAUACACAAAUUGACUGAUGCUGAGAAGGUCCUGGUUGCGACCAUUAGUUUUGAAGGCCCGACGCUGAACUAGUAUAGGGCGCAAGAAGCACACGACAAGUUUACCAGUUGGUCGAACCUCAAGGAGAGAAUACUCAUCCGUUUUCAAUCAGCAAAAGAGGGGUCCAUAUGCGGACAAUUUUUUAGGAUCGGAUAACAGACGACAGUAGAAGAAUAUCGAAACCAGUUAUAUAAGCUGAUGGAACCGUUAUCCGAUCUACAAGACAGAGUGGUGGAGGAAACAUUCAUGAACGGUUUACUGCCGUGGAUUAAAGCAGAAGUGGAUUUUUGUCGUCCGGUCGACGUGGCUCAAAUGGUGCACGCGGCUCAACUCGUAGAAAAUCGAGAGAUAAUUCACAAUGAGGCCAACCUUAAGGGGUACGCCCAAGGAAAAUAUCCGCCUCAAGGUUCUAGGCAAAAUACGAGUGCUGCGACGGUGAACGAUAGCGACAAUAAGAGAAAUACAUUAUUUUCGAUGAGAACGAUUACUCUGAGAACGACAUCCAGAGAAGUUAAGAGAGGGGCAGGCAAAGCGAUUGUUAGACGCGGAGUUUUCAAGUCAGGAAGGAAAAAGGACAUUGUUUUCCGUUGUAAUGAGAUAUAUUAUCAUGAUCAUCGAUGCAAAAACAGAGGGCAAAGAGAGUUGAGAAUGUACGUGGUCAGGGCGAAUGAUGAAGAAUUUGAAAUCAUAGAAGAAGUGGGAGAAAAUGAAUUGUUUGGAAAUCACAUAAGAAGAUCAUGUUGUCAUCGAACUGUCAAUUAAUUCGGUGGUGGGGCUGAACAAUCCGAGGACAAUGAAGGUGAGGGGGAAUAUCAGUGAGCGAGAAGUUUUCAUUUUCAUUGAUUGUGGAGCAACGCACAACUUCAUCUCCGAAAAGAUAGUAAAGGAGUUACAACUGGCCACGAAGGCAACGUCGCACUAUGGUGUAAUCUUGGGCUCGGGGGAGGCGAUAAAAGGUAAAGGAGUAUGUGAGGACGUGGAAAUCAAGUUGAACGGGUGGAAGGUGGUGGAAAAUUUGUUACCCUUAGAAUUGAGAGGGGUAGAUGUUGUGUUAGGAAUGCAGUAGUUGUAUUCAUUGGGCAUGACGGAAGUAGAUUGGAGGAACCUCACAAUGACUUUUGUGCAACAAGGAGAAAAGGUAGUGAUAAGAGGAGACCCAAGUUUGACCAAAUCCAGAGUGAGUCUCAAGAACAUGAUCAAAAGUGUGGAAGGAUUCGUGAUCGAGUGCCGAGCAAUGGAGAGAGUCUUUGAGCCACAGGAAGAUAACGGGAUUGAAGAAGUAUUAACUACUGAUGAAGCAGUAUCGGUCGUGUUGAAGAAUUUUGAAGAUGUUUCUAAUUGGCCGAAGACACUACCCCCGCAAAGAAAUAUUGAACAUCACAUUCAUUUGAAACAGGGCACUGAUCUGGUAAAUGUUCGACCCUAUAGAUACGCUUAUCAACAGAAAGCUGAGAUGGACAAACUUGUGGAUGAGAUGUUGACAGCGGGAAUUAUCCGUCCCAGCAACAGUCCAUAUCUAGUCCAGUUCUAUUGGUAAUGAAAAAAGAUGGCAGCUGGCGUUUUUGCGUAGACUACCAAGCGCUGAACAAUGUAACCAUUCCAGACAAAUUCCCUAUUCCGGUGGUUAAGGAGCUUUUCGAAUGAAUUAAAUGAAGCAAACUGGUUUUCAAAGAUUGAUUUGAAGGUGGGGUACCAUCAGAUCAAAAUGUGUGGAGAAGACAUCGAAAAAGCAGCAUUCCGAACACAUGAUGGACACUAUGAAUUUAUGGUUAUGCCAUUCGGCUUAACUAAUGCCACAUCCACUUUCCAAGCUCUGAUGAACUCAACAUUCAAACCAUUUUUGCAGAAGUUCAUAUUAGUGUUUUUCGACGACAUACUAAUCUACAGUGAGAACUUGGAACACCAUUUGAAGCACAUUGGGUUAGCAUUGGAAAUCCUGAGAAAGAAUGAGUUAUAUGCAAACAAGAAGAAGUGCAGCUUCGCACAAGAACGUAUUGAUUAUUUGGGUCAUAUCAUUUCAAGACAAGGAGUUGAAGUGGACCUUGAGAAAAUCAGAGCAAUCACGGAAUGGCCUAUACCCAGUAAUAUAAGAGAGGUACGGGGAUUCCUAGGCCUCACCUGUAACUAAAGAAAGUUCGUUCAGCACUAUGGCUCCAUUGCCGCACCAUUGAUUCAACUACUUAGGAAAGGGGGAUUCCAGUGGACUGAGGAGUCUAAGGAGGCAUUCCAACAACUACAAAAUGCGAUGAUGACCCUGCCCGUUUUGGCGUUGAAAAAAUUUCAAUGCCACAUUUGAAAUGGAAACCGAUGCAUCGGGAUAUGGGGUAGGAGUCGUACUCGUCCAAGCCAAGCGUCCCAUAGCAUACUUUAGUCAUACGUUAGCCUCAAGAGAUAGAGCCAAGCCUGUACAUAAAAGGGAAUUAAUGGCAGUGGUCUUGCAUGUGCAACGAUGGCGACCAUAUCUGUUGGGGAGAAAAUUUAUUGUGAAGACCGAUCAGAAAUCCUUGAAGUUCUUGUUAGAACAAAGAGUGAUACAGCUUCAGUAUCAGAAAUGGGUAGCGAAGCUAACGGGAUACUCAUUUGAGGUGGUCUACAAACUCAGCUUGGAGAAUAAAGCAGUAGACGCCUUGUCUUGGAUGCCUCCUACAAUUAACCUCGGUAGCAUAACAGCUCCUACAUUGGUUGACAUUCUGGUGACUAAAAAGGAAGUCAAAGCGUAUGAAAAAUUAAGCAAAAUAAUGGAAGAACUACAAGCAAUGGAAGAAGUAACAGAGGGUAAAUUCUCCAUCCGACAAGGUAUGUUAAGAUAUAAGGAUAAGUUUGUGUUGUCCAAAACAUCUACAUUGAUACCCACAAUCCUACAUACUUACCAUGAUUCGGUACUUGUGAGGAAUGUGUAAUAUGUCAGAAGAACAAGUCCCUAGUGUAACGAGCAUACUUGUCCAAGGUGUGUUUACCUAUGGCCGUAUGCUCCGAUUAGCCCCAAUUUACCUUGUCUUUAUGUCUUGCACGUAGCUUAGGUAGUUGCUUUCAAUUUCAAGUCGAUAUGCUUGGGUGUGACGUUUCGGCAUUUUCAUAUGUUAAAAAUGUACUAUAGGGGAGGCAUACCUGUUGAAUCCCUGCCCAAGCCUUGUCGUACUCUUUGCAGUCUAUGCUUUCUUAUUGCAAUUGACAGUCUUCAAUGCUUGUUUUAACAACGUUUUCAAUCAAUUUAAUCAUCUUUCAUGUUUUCUAAAACUAUUUUUCCAAGAACGUGAGGGGAGGUUGAAGUAUGUGUUAAAGUUGUCUGCGAUUUGCAGAUUUUGAUCGGCUGACUUGUUCGCCGAGCUAGAACAAGUGCCGCACAAUCGUUCACAAUCGUGUAUGGGUUUCGUAAGGGUUACACAGUAAAGGAAGAGUAAGAAUUUGAGUGGAGAAACUCCAAAUUGGGAUCAACACGUGGGCAACAACAUGGCUUCUCACCAACAUGAGAACUCAAAAGAGACAGCAGAUAUUCUAGAGAAGCCAAUGAACUCUUGGGAUGUGAAUCUGCACUUUCCUGCAAUAGUUUGAGUGUGAAUUAGUUCUCUGAAAACACCUGCAGAGGAUAAUCCACGGCAAAACAGAAUAACUAUAAAAAAACCACUUGCAAGUAGAAGAAAAAGGAAGUACAUUUAUACCUUCCCUGUCAAAGUGAUAUCCCUCAUCAACGGAUAUGCAUUUCUUUCCAGGAAGUAGCCAACAAUUUUACAAACCCAUGGGAGUUUAGGUUGUAAUAAGAAAACAAUUGUGUCCAACAAUAGAGUUGCAGGUGUGUUAGAGUUCACAGGUGCAGCCAAAAGUUGAUUCCUCAAUUGGUUUCUAUCAAGAACAACAUCAAGUAAGAAUAAUUCGGAGGAAAAAUAAAGGCAACUUAUCAUAUAUAUAAAUAUGAUUAGUCUGAAUUCGUUUGCGGAAGGUAAAAAAACCUUUAUGUCAAUUAUAUAUAUCUGAACAAAAUCUAAGAAAUAUAUCACUUUUCAACAAAAGAAAUAUAUCAUAUACAAUUAAAGGAUCAUAGCAUAGAAAGCCAACAAAAUCAACAAUGAUAGAUCAAACAUCUGUUUUUCCAUUCAAAACGUUAAAAAGGAUAAGUUUUUAAUAAGGAAUGUUGAAAUGGAAAAAACUAAUUACCUAUUAUGGUGUACAAUCUGGAUGCAAGCAUAUGCAAAUUUCUUAACUCUGUAAUCCACUAAGGCCUUGUUAAGUACAUAAUCCUUGCUAGCGAAAAUGCUCAACAUAUCCCCUAUAUAUGUAAGAGAGAGAAAGGUUAGAAAGUACUAACACUAAGAGAUAUGUGCUAUCAAUUAGAAACACUUUAAGAUGACAUUAUCAAUUAGAAAACCAAGUAUUAAGCAACAUAAGGGAAAAUAACAAACAAGGGCACCACAGUGGUUCAGAAACCAAUCAAUAUUUCCAUUUGUCACUUUUAUAAUAAUUUCCCAAGGGAAAAUCCUCAUAAUAAGCUUGAGUACCACCUAAUAACGUGUUCAAAUGUUACCAUAAGCAAAAAUGAGUGAUCCUAAAAUUCAUAUGACAAGGAAAGUCGUCAACUAGCAACCGCCAAAUAACAGUUAUAUGGCUAGAAUUAGUUUUCUCCAACUUCAAGAAAAUAAAACAUAUUAAAACAAAAGGAAUUAUGGUGCAAAAUAAUGAAUAUGCUGCAAAGGUAAGAAGUUUCUGAAGGUAAAAAUGGUCAAUAAAAAACAACAUAUAAUUUGACGUAAAUCAAAGUAGAAUUAUUUCUCGCAAUGAAUUCUCUGCCAAUAAUGGCUAAGAGAAGGGGUAUUUAUUGAGAAUUAGUUGGCCAGGCAGAAAUCAUCUAGGGCAUAGUAUUGUUUUAGGUCUGCGACAUUAAAAACAUAAUGAAUGUGUAAGUCUGGUGGUAGUUCUAUUUUGUAAGCAUUAUCUCCGAUCCUCUUUAGGACACGGAAUGGUCCUAAUUGUCUGUCUUUUAGUUUGUUGUAUGUUUCGGUUGGAAAUCGAUUUUUUCUUAGGUGAAUCAUUACUAAAUCUCCCUUGGUAAAGGUAGUUUGUCUUCUUUUUCUGUCUGUUGCGUCUUUGUAGGACUGAGUUGUUUCUUUUAGGUGAUUGUGGACUUCUUCGUGUAAAUUCUGGAUUUUUUCUAUCAUCUUUUCUGCCUCUGAUAGUUAGGGAACUCAACACAUUUUACUUGACCUAACCAAGAUGGCUCUUUGUAUGUAUAUUGCAUGUGUUGUUUGUUUUUUUCUAUAGCUCUUGAUUGUCUCACUUUUUUACGUUUUGCAUUUGCAAUUCUCUUUUCUUUCUUUGGUAUGCAAUGUGGUAACAAGGUCUUGCUAGAACCGGUGGGCUAACCUUUCUAUGGUUCUAAACUUAGUUUCUAAGUUUGACUGCUCCCUUCGGAGUGACAACAAGCCUCGUUUUUCUCCCUACUAUGGAACGGGGAGGAUUCAUUUUCUUUUCAAAGCCCUCGUCAAACUCAAUGCUAAGUUUGACUGCUCCCUUCGGAGUGACAACAAGCCUUGUUUUCCCCUAAUGUGGAUCGGGGAGGAUUCCUUCUCUUUUCAAAGCCCUCAUCAAACUCGAUGCUGUGUUUAGAACGCUAAGAGUAGGUGGUCUGGUUUUGGUUAGGCCAAAAGUGAAGUUUUCCCCCAUUUUUUAUGGGCUUUUUCUAAUGUAUAUUGGAUAUGUUGUUUGAUUUUUUUUAUAGCUCUUGAUUGUCUUACUGUUUUAUGUUUUGCAUUGUCAAGUCUCUGUUUUCUUUCUUUGGUAUGCAAUGUGGUAACUAGGUCUUGCUAGAACCGGUAGGCUAACCUUUCUAUGGUUCUACAUUUAGUUCCUAAUUAAGUUUGAUUGCUCCCUUCGGAGUGACAAUAAGUUUUGUUAAUGUCGACCCUUUUCUAAAGGGAUUUAGUUCACUGUGGCUAGGCAAGAGGUUUCUAACUCAUGUUUGACAAGACAAAUUUGUUAAAACCAUCUUAGUUUCUAAAGAGUGCCUCCUAUCCCUUUUUUACUCUAUCUAGGCUAGGUUUGGACUAAGUGCAUCAUAGGUAAGUCACGACAAAGCAACAAAGGAAGACAAAGCUAGAAAAGUAUUCAUGCACUUAUUUAUUAUACAUGCAAUCAAGCAUUCACAACAUACAUACCAUUUUCUCAAUCAUGCAUUCACACCUCAAUAAGAAAUAGCUAAAAGGAGCUUACAACAAAAAAGACAGCCGCUUAUUCUCAAAUUUCAGCACAUAUACUCAUCAAAAUUUAGAAUUUCACAUUGCAAACCCGAGCUCAGUGCUCAAGGGUUGCCAAUCAUGCUUUUUAUGCAAGAUCUAAUUAAGCUAAGAAGGUAUAAUGCUCAUUUUGUAUGGAAAGAAUUCUGAAAUUUUUUUUAAAUUUGGGCAAAAUUUGAACCCCGAAGUUUAGACUAAACAUGCAAGCUAAGCAAGCUAUUACCCACACCCACUCAAAAAAUUGCUUUGUCUGUCCUAAAAGCUUUUGAAAAUCAAAGUAAAUGGAGAAAAAUAAGGGGGAACUUUGGACUCCCCUAGAAGGAUCGACAUCCUUGACUUUGGUUUGAAGCUUGCAUGGAUAAACCUUUUCAUUCCUUUUUAAUUGAUUAUUCAUCCUUGUUCCUGAAAAUCAAAGGAAAUUCUCUCAAUUUUAUAUAUUACUAAAAUUAGGAUACAUAUAAGUCUUAACUAGUCUAAUAGCACCCUCCAUUCAUCUUCCCCUACACUGGCUAUGGUAUCAAAAUUUUCAAUUAAGUAAUACGUCUACUAACGAACUUGAAAACAAAACACAUCACACUAAAAAACACAAACAUCACUUUAACCCAACAGAAGCUGCUCUUUUUACCCUUGCACUCACUAUCACAUUACUAUCAUGUUUGUCAACUGUCAAACUAACUCUUUUAAGUUAUUUAGUGUGACUACAAAGUUAUGAACACCAUAAUCUUAAUUAAAACCUUUUAAUAAACAAAUGCCAAGUUACUACUCAACAAUGGCAAGGAAUUCAAAAAACAUGACUGUAACGACCCAACUUUUCUAGGUAAGUCGAAGUCAUUAAUUUCAAAUAAGGACCUGAGUUUACACAAAAUCUCAAUCUCAAACAAUUUCAAAGUCUCAAGAAAAACAAAAAUUUAUACCUGGGCCCGGUUUAAAAUAACCAGCACCUUCAAGACAAAUUUACUAAUUCGUGAAUACAGUUCAACUAUAAAAUUUUCUAAACAAUCUCAAGUACUAAACAAAACACGUGAAACAAAACAUUUAGCGGAAGCAAUUUAAAAUAACCCCUAUGGCAAUCACGCUUCCUUUCUGCCCCUCGUCGGUUUGCCGUCUUUAUUACCUUUGCCUGAAAAUUAAACAUAAGGAGGGUGAGUAUAAAAAUACCCAGUACGAGACCCUCUACUGGUCCCGUCAGGGGAAAAUAAAUUGUUAACAUUCUAUUGGGACACCCUGUACAGUCACAGUCUUGUGAUCCCGUAGGAGGCACAUUUCAGUCUAACGCCCCGAGGGACGUACAUUUCAGUCUAGUGUUCUGCAGAAACACAUAUCAGUCUAAUGCUCUUGAAGGUGCAGAAUAAUUGGUGAUCCGUGUGACACCUACAAGGCACACAUCCCAAUAAAAGCUAACAAUUUUUCCCCUCAGUCCAUUCUAAACAUCUUAACAGUCAUUCACAGAUCAGUUAAACAUUCUCAUCACGUAAACUCUUUAUUUAACCUCAAACAGUCGUCUUACUCUAGUUUAGUCCAAGGUCAAUAAAAAAACAUAUCAUUACAUCAGUUAACAAGCUAAACAAUCAUAACCUCCUCCUCAGUCACCAAGGGCACCACCAUGACGUUUCUUCCGUUCACAAGCACACAACAUAACAGUAGAUUAUACACUCAGUCUAGACAACAAUCAAUCUACUAAUCAAAUCCACACUUUAUAUAAGCAACAUCUACGAGAUUCAGUCGUUUCCACAUCCUUAUCUUUGUACACAUACAUAACUAGACAGUCACAACAUAUACUCAACCACAGUCUACAUCAAUCCAUGCACAUAUAUGUAUUAAUUUCUCCCAGUCAAACAUAGCAAACAUUAAACUUUAAGUCAAUGCCCAAACAUACAUCAUAACAGUCAUCUCUACUCAGUUCAAAUCAAUACAUCUUAAUUAGUCAUUAUAUAUUAAUUUUGUUGUUGAGUCUAGUAGAAAAUCCCUUACUUUCAAGUUAGUUAAGCUCCUUAACCACGUUGAAGUCUACGAAGAACGAACCUAAACAUUAAGACAAUUUCUCAAUAAUUCUCUUCAACGCAUCAAUCAUUUAAAUUCAACCCAAUGUGAUUUUUUUUUUACAACUUACCCAAAUCUUCACAAAACGAGUUCCAACUAGAAUCAAUUGUUUGCUGCGAACCCAAUGAAUUCGAGUGUUACCUUCAACCUAUAAUCGAACAGUAAACUAUUUAUCCAACCAAUUAAUCCAGCAAUAUUACUUGAGUUUAUUUUGGAAACAGUUACAAAUUUCAUAACUUCAAUCUUACCAAUCAAAAUUUAAUGACUCGUGGCAAAGCAGGAACGACAGCGAACAACCCAAUCGAAUGGCGUGGGUUUGCUACCUGCGGCAGGACGAAGAAGGAACUCGACGCGCAGAAAGUUGGAUCUGGGGUCUUUAGUUCGGUUCACGGUAGCGAAUUAAAACCUGAUUGCGCGGACGUCAAAGGUGUUAUUCGCGGAAGAAGUCGAGCAGCAGCUUUGCGAAGAGACGACGUGCGACGGAGAGACUGUAUACAGACGGACGGAGAGUCGCGCGGCAGUGCAGAAAACGGAGGAGAAAGGAAUGGGCGGCGGCUGGGCUUGGCUUCGACGGAGACAGAGGCGAUUAGGACGGGGCACGGCGACGCAGAUCUGGACGACGGCGCGGAGACAGAGGUUGCGCGGCGCUGGGCAGAGGGUCAAACGGCGCUGGGCGAAGGGUCACACGGCGCUGGGCGGAAGGUCACACGGCGGCCUUGCUUCGCGAACAGAGAUGGCGGCCGACGGUUGCAGCGGCGGCUGGGUAUGGUAGAAAAGAAAGAGAAACGGAAGAAGAAUAGGGGCGGCGACCGUGGAUCGGAGAAGAAAAGAAGGAUGAAAGCGAUGGUGGUCGGUUGGAGGGUGCGGCUGGAGGUAGGGAUCGGUGAAGGAGAAAAUAGAAAAAGAAAAUGAAGGGGAAAUGGGGGUUGCGCGCGGGAGGAAGAAGAAAGGAAAAAAAAUUCUUUUUUUUUUUUCUUUUCUUUUAUUUAAAUUAAAUAAUAAAACUAAAAUAUAAAUAAAUAUAUAUAUAAUUAUAUUAUCACAUUUUCAAAUCUUCUUUCUCCCCCUUCAUCAUAUUUUCUUCAAAAAAAUAAAUCUUGUACAAAUCGAAUAAUUUUCUUAAAAUAAAUUACCUUCGAGUUUGGGGCGUUACAAUGACAGCUAUAUUGUAACUUGGCACUUGGGGACUUUAAUGGUGUCAAUAUUGUAACUUCUGGUGCCAUGACAAAUAUUGGUGACUGUCAAGAUAAGUUCGCAUAGCCACCGAAAGAUACAUCGUUGCUUUUGAAGAAUGACAAGACUCUAAAUGAUAUAUGCAGCAUUAUUUUGGUUAUAUCCAAUCUUCUUUGAAGGCUAUGUACUUGAAGAUUUUAAUCAAUAAAUAAAAUGAAGUUUAAUUUUUAAAAUAAUAACAUUACAAUGGGAUGGCGAUUGGAAUUGAUUACUUUGGUUAAAAUUUAAGAUUAGAUUAAAAAAAUCAAUUAAUAGAUAAUUCCAUCCAAUCAAAAUAACUAAAUAAAAGACGAGAUUUGAAAAUAUAAUAUCCUAAUAGACACUAAUAGACUUAUAUUAAUAGAUAAUUUCCUGCCGAUGAAAAAUUACUAAAGUUGUACUAUAUUUUAUAAAUAUUUCAAAACAUUACAUAAACACUAAUUAAAGUUGGGUUUAGUAGCAAAAGGUUACAAAUUUAUUGACACCUUUUUUAGGAAAAAAAAUACCUUGACAUGAUGUAAACUAAAUUUGUAAUCAGCAUUGAAAUCUUUACUAUACUAAAUGGGCUCGUGGAGAAAAAAUUAUAUACAUCUAUUUUAUUCUUAAAUUGUCGAAAAAAAAUUAUAUUACCUUUUGUGAUCUAACGUAGUUGUGACUUUUAUAGUGUAAGUGUCCAUUUUAAUGUUUGGAAAGAUGAUUUUUCCAAUUUUUUAGUUUACAAAAUAAAGUUCUAUAUUUCAUAAAAUAAAACCUUAUGUUGAAUAUAUGUAACUAAUGUUGAUAGGAUGUGAUUGGUUGAUCUUCAAGAUACGAUGCAUUCUGUUUAGAGUGGAGAUGGUUGCACACACAUCAAAUUGGUGCAUUGAUUCCUCCAAAUUUACAUGUGAAAUGUAAAUGUAAAAGAAAAACAAAACAAACUCUUGCAGUUACACAUUAGGAAAAAAAAACGUCACGAAAUUCCAAAGUUCAAAAGAAAACAAACAUACACAGGGAUUUAAUUGAUUCAAAGUAGUAACAAAUGGUGAAAAAAUGCAUAAUUUGUUGUGAUUUCACAUUAACAUGUUAGAAUAAAAAAUUAUCGUAUUCUAUAUAUUACAAUAUUGGAUCAAAUAUUAAUACAUUAAUUUAAUUAUUUAAUUACUACAUCAAUGAAUUUCUUUUUCUUUUUUAAAUAAUAAUUUUACCAUUAAUAUUAUAUAAUAUUUGUUUAUUAUAUGCUAAAGCAUAUUUAAAAAUUAAAUAGAAUUAAGAGAUUUCACGUGAAUUUAUGCACAUGUUUCAACUGAAAAGAUGGAAACAAUAGUCACAAAUUAUUUUUUCCUAAAACAAAACAUUCGUAACCAAAUCUAAAUAUGCACUUUCAUAACUAAGGACCAAAACUCAUAUUACGUAGAAUUGAGCAUGGUUUAAAUGAAAUUAUUAACAAAAUACUUACACUUUAAACCAGGUUUUUUGGCAACAUACAUAGUGAGAAAAUUCCAAAUUUACCCUCUUACUUGUAUCUUUUCAAUAAAAAGUGCAUCUUAGUUGUAAUUAUGUCAAAAUAAAAAUAAAAAAAUAACUCGUCAGUUAACGUGGUUAUUCAUUAAUUGAUUUGGGUGAACUUUCUGAAGAUAAAAAUAACAAAAACAAACAAACAAAAGACUAGAACAUGUUAUUUAAUUAUGUAAUUACAACUUCCCUUUCUCCUCCGUGAGAAAAAAAACCAUUUCUCUAAAUUUCAUCUAUAUAUGUGUAUUGAUCAAAUGACCCAUAUCAAUAAGGACACAAAAUUGGCAAAGAACAAAUAAAUUAAAAUGGACAAUAACUCUUGUUUCAUUACUUUCUCUCUCAUUGGAGUUCUUUUGUUCACCAUCAUUUCAAAUGUGGCAUCAUCUAACGACGUUGUUUCUACCAUCUGUUCAGAAAUCUCAAAUCCACAAUUUUGUUUAAGUGUGUUGAAAUCUGCAGGCACUACAGAUCUAAAAGGCUUGGCUGUAUACACCUUAAACCUUGCUCAUUCAAAUGCUGGCAAAUCUUUGAUCCUAGCCAACUCACUAGCAAAAGCCACCACCAAUCCUCAACUUAAGCAACGAUAUUCAUUUUGUGCUGAGAGCUAUGAUGAAGUUGUUGGUGACAUUGAAAAUGCUCAAAACGACUUGGCACUUGGGGACUUUAUUGGUGUCAUUAUUGCAACUACUGGUGCCAUGACAACUCUUGGUGAUCACUGUCAGAAUAAGCUCUUGCAGCCGCCGAAGGAUACAUCGUUGCUUUUAAAGAAUAGCAACACUCUAGAUGAUAUAUUUAGCAUUAUUAUGGUUAUAUCCGAUCAUCUUUGAGGGUUAUGUACUUGAACAUUUUGAUCAAUAAAUAAACUGAAGUUUAAUUUUUAAAAUAAUAUUACAAUGUGAUGGUGAUUGGAAUUGAUUACUUACUUUGAUUAAACUUGAGAAGAUAAAGAAAAUCAAUUAAUAGAAACGUUCACCGACACACAUUGUCAGCACGUCGGAGAAAGCCUAAACUUUUUUUUCUUUUCUUUUACGUUCUGUUUUCUUUUCUUUGUUUGCCAUCAUCAUCGUCAUCUUCUUCUUCUUCUAGCUUCUUACGUUCUGUUUCAAUUGCAUACUUCUGUUAUUCUUGUAAUUUCUUCGUGGUUUUCUUUUUAACUUUGUGUUUCAGUGUGGAUUCAUAAACACAUUUUUCAGUGCUCUGGAUUCUGGAUCUGUUAUGAUUUGAAAGGGUACAGUGAAGUGAAAAGUUGAAAUGGAAAAGAAAAAAAAGAAGAAAAGAGGACACUUCUCGCGGUGGUGGCGGCAAAGACUGACGUCGACGACAACACAACUCUCCUCCUCUCCCUAUAUCUCGGCCGAUUUUGGGUUUAUUUUCGUUUUGCAUUCUGUUAUGUGUAGAAGGGAGAAUAAAUAGUGUGGACUUUCCCCGACAUCUUCGAAAACGUUGGGAAAUUUACCUUUUCGCCGACGUAUGUAGUACACACGUCGGAGAAAGUUUAAAUAAUAAAUUCAUUAUUUAAACUUUCCCCGACGUACUCCUGUCAUACGAGUCUAAAUUAAAUUUAAUGCGUUCUCCUUCGGCGAUGUGUGUCAAGGUGACGUUGGAAAAAGUUUAAACACUAAUGCAAUUAUUUUAAAUCACAUAUGUUAUCGCUUAUAUGGCAUAAGAGUCUAUUAACGAUAGAAAUCUAUCUUGAUAGGUUUUGCUACAUUUACAAUUUUUAAAAAAUAUUCUUAUAUACUUAACUAUUAUUCCUAAAAUUGCUAACCCAUUAUACUUACCCUAAGUUAAAUGUAUAAUGUCAAAAGUAAGUUUACUACGAAGGUAAUCUAUGUGACCCUUUUAUCCUAACGUAGGAAGUUUGUUCCACUCCAUACCAUUAUUGAACUAAAAGGAUUAAGUGUGUAUUAAUAUGUUUAAACAAGUAUAAUUAUAGCAAAAUCUAUAAGUGAUAUAUUGAUAUUAGCAAUACAAUACGCGUCACAUAUGCAAACAUUUUGUGUCUAAUCGUUGUAUUUACAAUUAACUCCAUUAAAAUAUUACAAAUAGAAAUAGAACUCUUUAAUCUAUGUUCAGUUAGGAUCACAAACUACAAAAUGAAAGCAUGGAACAAAUUUAAUUUUUUUUUUCUUUAAAGGAAAUUUUGUGUGUAGCACAUUAUAUUUUUUUCUUUCCUUUAAAAAACAUUAUUGAUCUUAUGAUAUUUGACAUAUAUUAUAUUUUUUUAAGAAUGUAAAUAAUGUAAAUAAUGUGCCAAAUAAUUGAAAACAUGUUAUCCAAAACAGAGAAUGGUUAAGAAAUUGUUGACAUUUAGUCAAAUUAAUAAAUAAUUCAAAAUUGUGUUUGAUUUUUGAAUUUGAAAAGAUAGUAAAUUAGAAGUGUUUUGAAAUAGUAUUUACGAGAAGAUUUUUAAUUUUAAAUAGCAUUAUAGUAGCUAUGGAUGGUUAUAUAAUAGUCUACACAAUCUUUGUCACAAAUGAUUAAUUCGAUUUUUUAAAUCAAGUCUAAUGUUUUUUUUUUUUUUUUUUGCCUAUUUCUUACCAUAAUUUACAUUUUUUGUAAGUAUAAUGGUUGAAUGCAAAAAGAGAGCUGACUAGUAAGUGCAAAAAGAGAUCUCACAAGCUUCUGCAAAAGCUAAUCAAGCAACCCAAAUCAUAAACGAGGAGAAAAGUUGAUUGGUUAAGCUUUGUUGUAGUAAAGAAGUCAAAGUGAACAUGGAACGUUCUUCACUCUCAAAGAACAUCGCCAACAUAUAGAUUAUAUACUUUUUCUGGUAUUGACCCAAAAAACACAAUCCAAGUGUAUUUUUGGUGAGAUGCAUAGUUUAACUAAACCGUGUUAUUACAAAAUUUUUAAUUACUAGGAACUCCUAAUGAAACGAAUACAUUAUUUUUAUAAUUACGAGGUAAAAUGGAAACAUACAAACUACUAAAAAAAGUUGCAAUUCGAUUAUUGGGAUUCAAUCUACUCUCCAUGAAUGUUCUUGAAAUGAGAGUUUUUAAGCAGCUACAACUUGCUUAUGUAUAAAAGCAAAACCCUUCUCAACGCCUACCUUCAGUUUUGGCUUUAGAGCUUCAAGUGAUUUUUGCCCCUACUCAGAUAAACCCUGAAGAUCAGAUGUUACAAAGGCUUCAAUUCCACAUGCAAAAAUCAUGUUCAUGAACCAAAAGCACCUUAAGCUUCUCUUCGAUAUCUUUGAGCUCACUGGAUAAAGAACUGAUUUCUAAAGCAAUCAUCUCUACCAUAUCCUCAUCGUUCCCACUGUCUUUUAAUAAGGUUGGCAUGAUAAUCACAACAAAGAAGAAGAAACUAAGAUCAAUUUAACAAAUUUUAUGUUGGGAAACUUUUUUAAGAACAACUACUUAUAAACCAACCUUAGCUUUGGCCUCACAUUCCUUGAAUUUUCUAAAAGUAGAUACCACCUGUCCGGGCAACCCACACCAACCAACCAAGAGUAAGUUAGUGUGAAAGACACUUAUUUAAUGAAGAAUAUGUAAAAGAGGUCAUUCCAACUGUUACACAUAAUAGUAUUGGAGGCAGAUAACCUUGCCAUACCUCAUCAAGUUCUGAUAUUGAUUGAGCUAGUUUUUGAUACUCUGUGGGGUUUGAGACAAUAUCUGGAUUGACCAGCUUAACCUAAAUAAUAAUAUCGAUAGUGAUUAUUGUGUAGGAAAAUAUUAAAGCUAUAACCAAAUCAAAAGCAUAAUUGGAAAUACAUCAAAGAUGUAAAUGCAAAUUUCAAAAGUGGAUCUACAGAAUGUAAGGGGAAGAAACUCAAAUAAAAUUACUUUAUUAGUUAUACGACUACUAUAGAGAUUCCAGAUACACCACAGUUCCACGUCCUCUUUCAGGAGGAAAGCAAUGGUUAAAAAUUAAUUGUGAAAACUAAAGAAGGUCCUGUUCAAAUCCUAACAGCAAUAGGAAAGCAAGGAGUUAUAAGGUGAUCACUAUAGCCAAAUCCAAAAUGCAUUCAAUAUUUGUCUUCCAAUUUCAUUAUCAAGUGCAUAGGCAAGGUCCCUAGUGAGGAAGUUAUUCGUUCUUUUCUUCAUUUUCUAUAGCUCUAGAAGUAGCUAAAUGGAAUCGUCAAGCACCUAAUCUAUUAAUUUUAAAACUCAAAAGUUCACCGCGGGAUUCUAGUCACUGCUGAAACAACAUAGAGUUCACUAGUUCCACAGUUAAAUUAAUUGCAAAUUGCAUUUCCUGGCAUUUUCAAGAAAAAAAAAAUGCACAAAUCAUAAUAUGAUGAAGUAGAAAAAUUUUGUGAGCUCGACUUUUCCAGGACAUAUCUUAGCUACUUCUCCUAUUCCAGCUCGAUAACCAUUGUACUUUAACAAUUGAAACAUUAAUCCAAUAGUUAACAAUGUUCUGCACUUUAUGCCCUUACAUUUCCAACAACUUGAUGCAUACAUCAGUAGUUAACACAGGCACGAGCUCUUAAAUUCAAUGCAAAAUAACAGUCCCAUUCCAAGCAUAGACACCAAAUACAAACAAUUGAUGGACUUGAAUCAGUGAAGAAAUAAGAAUGUCAUUUAACAGCAAAGCACAAAUUACCGAUAAUUUUUUCCACGUCUUCUCAGCAGAUUCCAAUUUCACGAUCAAAUAAGGUUCCUAAAAUAAAGCAAUCACCAUCAUCAUUUUCCACAAAUAUGAUUCGAACUAGUUUUACCACAAAUUAAUUUCUAGUAACUUGAAGAAAAACUCAGUGAACUCAAAGCAUAACGAAACUCAAGUUCUGUUAAAGCCAAUCCGAACAAUAAGAUAUAGACAUAUUGUGUUCUCGAAAGAAAAACAUUCAAUAAAUCUAACAGCCAUGCAAAUUAGAGUUGAAGCUCUAAAGGGAGGUGCAAAGCAUUUAAGUUCCAGAGAGCAUCUUCUGAAGGCGAUGAGCCCAUAAGAUGAAAAAAAGGCCUCAAGUGAGGAAGAAAGACGCCAUCCAAACAUGAAAAAAGGAAGAAAGGCAAGAUUUUGGUAGCUCCAGACCUGAGGGAAGCCAACAAGGUGGCGAGGGAGGCAAGGCCCCAAAGUUUAGCAUUGCCAGCAAAGUGAAGGUAGAGAAGGACCUUUCCUUUCGACGUGGCCCUCCGAGAGUUUAUGGACGCCCCAAUUGGGGCGUUUGGAUGGAGUAAGUUCUUCAAGGGACUUCCAAGAUUCGAUGGAGGUUGUCAAGAAAUUCUACGCAUCAGAUUACAACCACUACAAGGAAUUUCAGAUCAACCAACACAAUUUAACACUAUUGGGAGAAUCCACGAAUUCUUGGUCAAGUAGAAGAACCUCCAUGUGGAAGAAACAAAUUGUGAACGUGUCGAAGACCUUGAAGUGUGGAAAUGGAAGAUCAAAGAGUUCCAGCUUCGCCAGUCGACAGGGACGUCAACUGUUUAAGUAGGGGAGAAUGUCAAGAGCAUGCUUGUCCAAGGCAUUGUUUGCCCAUGGCCGCAUGGCCGAACAUCCUCAAACCGCCUUAUAUUUAUGUCUUAUACUUAGUUUAGCCAUUUUGUUUCCUUUUGUUGUCGCCGACCUAGGGUGUGACGUUUCAAAAUUUUCAUAUGCAAGUCUGUCAUAGCUAAAAAUGUUUAAAAUGUACUAUAGGGAAGACAUAGUAGUUGAAUCCCUGACCAAGCCUUGUUGCACUCUUUGCAUUCUAAUCUUUCUUUGCAAUUAACAGUCUUCAAUGCUUUCUUUAACGAUGUUUUCAAUUCUUUUCUUCUCUUCUUGUCUUAUAAAAAUAAAUUUCUCUCAAAACAUGAAAGAGGCUAUACCGUACUGCGUGCUUUUUGCGACUUCUGGAUUUCAUACAGCUUACUUGUUCACCGAGCUAGAACAAACGUCGCAUAAUCACCAUCCCCUAUUUGAAAAUUUACGAUUAUGACAGCAUGCGGUGAGGUGCACGCGGCAUGUGUGGGCCCAAGCCAAGCAUGCAACUGGCAUUCUGAUACUCUAUGCACGUGCAUGCUGCCUGCGCCCAUGCCGUGCAGCCAGCAUUGUCAUGACGUAGUUUUUGGGAUGUUUGGUGUUUUGGGAAAUUUUGAGCAAAUUCUGGAUGUUCGAGCAUGCGGAUGUUCUAUGCAAUGCAACCAGCAGCCCAUAUGUUCUAUGUUCUCUUUACGGUCGUAUGUGCACAUUUGGUUAACUCUACUACUAAUGGGAAAGUUGACGAGCCUAUGCUGAAUUCAUCAGGAAAGGUGUACUUUGUUGAGCCCAUUGAGGAGAAGGAUACCUUCUUUUUUCGAAGAGGUGUUUCAAUGCCUAGGCCGUCUUUUGACAAUGAGGUGUUAAUAUUACCUAGACUUCAUGCUAAGAACGGGUUGUGAAUUUAUAAUCAAGAAUGCAGUUCGAGUAUCAUGUCUUUCAAAUGAUUUCCAACAGCUUGAAUGUUUCUAUAAGACAAGAAUUUAUGCUUAACUGUUUUAGAAAGCAUGUUUUAUAAAAAUUGUCACUCACUAAGUCUUUCGACUUAUCCUUUCAAAUCAUUUCUCACUUUUCAGGUAUGGAUUAUGCAUUCCCUAAUGUUAAGCGUAUUGCUGCUGAGCCAACCAGUUACUAGAAAUUGUUAAGUCAUUUUGAAAGUUAGUUUUGACUUUGUAAGAAAAGUUCAGGAUGAGCAUGUCUAUGUUUAUUGUUAAAGUUCCAAUGUUAUAAGUUAGUUUAGUAAAAAGGUCACUGUCAUGUUUAAAGCUUCUGCUGAUGUAUCACAAUAGUUGUAACUAGUGGUUUAAGUUAUUAGUAAAAGCAUGUAGCUUGUAUCGCUGUUUGUUUUGAGCAUGCAUUCAUGUUGUAACUGGUAGUUAAGUUAGAAAGGUUAGUCGGUUGGUAAGUUUUGCCAAGGUAUGGCAAUCCUUGCCAACCCUCGCACCUUCUUUCAGAGCUAGAUGUUGUUCAGAAAAUAAGGAGCUUUGGGAGGGGGUGGUGACAACAACACCAUCCCACUAGAGUACGCAAUGAUGCAUUAUUGUUUAAUUAAGUCAUAUAUACUUCCACAAUUUGGAUAGGAAUUUAACUCAUUAGAAGGUGUCCUAUAGAAUUUCUCAGUGAAAAGUUCAGAGAAGCUACAAACAAAUGUCACUACCGAACAACAAUCAUAUACAUGGGUUAGGGCUUUGAGCAGUGUGAACACAACUUAAUAAUAAAUAUGAAGUCGUCCUCUUUUCAUCAUUAGUCAGAAGAAUUCUUAAACUUUCUAAAAAUAAUUGUCAAAUAAUUGAUUAUAUAGUAUGCCAUUUAUUUGGAAUACAAUUUUUUCAUUACCAGGAAAGGAGACUUCUCACUAAGUAAAUGUAAAGAGACUAAUGCUAUAAUUUGAAUUGGAAAAUAUAAUUUCAUAAUUAAGCAUCGAAUAGGGACUAGUUAAGAAGUACACACUUUAGUUUGCCAGAGUCCAUGUUCUACACAUGUUAGCCACUCUGUCAUUGGUUUAGCAGUAAAACAAAGGAUGUGUUUAGGAUGUGAGCCACACAAAAGGGAAAGAAAACAGAAGGCGCAGUGAGCCACACAAAAGGGAUCGAAACGAAUGUUCAGAAAUAUCGGAAGGAUCGAAGAAAUAUGGAAGGAAAGACGAGGAAAAAACAACAGACCGGAGCAAGUUCAAGAAGGUAGAGAUCCCGAUCUUCAAUGGAAUAGACCCCGAUUCAUGGUUAUUUCGCGCCGAUCGUUAUUUCAAGAUACACAAGUUGACUGACUCAGAGAAGUUAAUGGUAGCGGUAAUCAGUUAUUAGGACCAGCUUUGGAUUGGUAUAGAUCAAUUGAUGAAUUGGAACAAUUCAAGAGUUGGGAAGAUUUGAAGCAAAGGUUGUUGUCCGAUUUCAGACGAUUCGGGAUGGAACACUCGUAGGCAGAUUCUUAAGGAUUAAGCAGGAAACGACAGUAGGGGAAUAUAGAAACAGUUUCGAUAAAUAUUUAGCUCCGGUAGCCUUCCUCCAGACCAUAGUAUUAGAAGAAACCUUUAUGAAUGGGCUAAGCCCAUGGCAUAAAUCCGAAGUUGAAACGCUGGAGCCCAUAGGUUUGGCCAAGAUGAUGUAACUAGCCCUGAAAUUGAAAAUAGAGAGAUGGUUCGUCGAGAAUGUGGGCUUAGUAGUGUUUCGGGAAUGAAUCAACAAUUCAAGCAUAAUAACGUAAAGCAAACCUCGACAGUAACACCCAAUCAGAAACCCACGGAAGGGAGCUGGCCAAUGAGAACGAUUACGUUAAAAAGAGUGACGGCAGAUGAAAAGAGGAGGGAAGGUCCGACCAAGCGUCUUUCCAACGCUGAAUUUCAAGCACGGAGGGAAAACGGUCUGUGUUUUCAGUGUGAGGAGAAGUAUCACGCUGGACAUAGGCGUAAGGUGAAGGAACAGAAGGAAUUACGGAUGUUAGUAGUAAAGGAAAUGGGAGAAGAACUGGAAAUCAUUGAGGAUGAACACUUUGAUGUGGAAACGGAGGCCCAGACCAUUGAAAUUGAAAAAGUGGAGAAUAUGAAUAUAGAGCUGUCCAUUAACUCAAUUGUGGGGUUAUCCAACCCUGGAACCAUGAAACUGAAAGGGAAGAUAAAAGAGACCAAAGUGGUAAUAAUCAUCGACAGUGGAGCCACCCACAGUUUUAUUGCAAAAAAUUUUGUAACCACCCUUAGCCUACCAAUGACAGAAACGUCCAACUAUGGAGUGAUUUUGGGAUCAGGGGUUGCGGUCAAAGGAAAAGGAAUCCGCAGUAAUGUUGAAGUGACGGUAGGAGAGUGGAAAAUUACAAACAACUUUUUACCCUUGGAAUUAGGGGUGGUUGCACUCAUUGGGCAUGACUGAAUUUGAUAUGAAAAAUUUGGUGAUGACAUUCCGACAUGGAGGAAGGAAGAUAGAGAUAAAGGGGGACCCUAGUGUCACCAAAACCCAAGUGAGCCUAAAGUCUAUAAUUAAGACAUGGGGAGCUGAUAAUCACGGUUAUUUGGUAGAAUGUCGGGCCAUGGAGGGAAGGCUAGCUGAGGAAGGCUUAGAGGAUGAAGAAGUGCCAGCCACUGUUGACAACAUGAUCUCUCCUCUGUUGAGCAAAUUUAAUGAUGUUUUUGAUUGGUUGGAAGAGCUGCCUUCGAAGAGGAACAUUGAGCACCAUAUACCCCUUCAGAAGGGGGUGGAUCCAGUUAAUGUCAGACCUUAUCGUUACGCACAUCGGCAAAAGGAGGAAAUUGAAAGACUAGUUGAUGAAAUGUUGAAGACAGGCAUCAUAUGACCGGGUACCAGUCUGUAUUCCAGCCCAGUCCUUCUCGUGAAAAAGAAAGAUGAUAGCUGGCAAUUUUGUGUAGAUUAUCGGGAGUUGAACAAUGUCACUAUCCCAGAUAAGUUCCCAAUUCCGGUCAUAGAUGAGUUAUUCAAUGAGCUGAAUGGGGCCAACAUGUUUUCGAAGAUUUAUUUAAAGGCGGGUUAUCACCAAAUCAGGAUGCAUCUGAGAGGUGUAGAGAAGACGGCCUUUCGAACACAAUGAGGGACACUAUGAGAUUCUUGGUCAUGCCCGUUUGAGCUAACCAAUGCCCCCUCUACGUUCCAAGCAUUAAUGAACCACAUCUUUAAGCCUUAUAUGAGAAAGAUUCGUAUUAGUGUUUUUCGAUGACAUUUUGGUGUACAACAGGGGAGUAGAAGAACAUGGACAGCAUCUGGAAGUAGUCUUGGAGAUCCUUCGAGAGAAUGAAUUGUAUGUGAAUUUAGCCAAAUGUUGCUUUGCCAAAAGUAGAAUAGGUUAUUUGGGGCAUUUCAUAUCCGAAAAGGGAGCUAAAGUUGAUCCAGAAAAAAUAAGGGCAAUUAGGGGAAUGGUCGAUUCCCACUAGUGUGCGAGAAGUUCGAGGUUUCUUAGGACUCAAUUGAUACUAUAGGAAGUUUGGGCAGAAUUAUGGCAGUAUCGAAAGCCCUUUGACACAGCUUUUGAAGACAGGAACUCAUUGUUGGACUGAAGAAGCAAGUGCUGCCUUUGAGAAGUUGAAGAUGGCAAUGAUGAUUCUACCGACGUUAGCUAUGCUGGACUUUAAUCUACCACUCGAGAUAGAAACAUAUGUAUCUUGUUUUGGUGUGGGGCCGUUUUAGUACAAGCCAAGAGACAAAUAUCCUUCUUUAGUAAAACCUUAUGCAUGUGGGAUAGAGCGCGACUGGUUUAUGAAAGAGAAUUGAUAAUAGUAGUGUUUGCGGUGCAAAGGUGGAGACCAUAUUUGUUAGGGAAGAAAUUUACAGUGAAAACUGAUCAGAAGUCGCUCAAAUUUCGGCUAGAACAAAGGGUGAUUCAACCCUAAUACCAAAAAUGGAUAGCCAAUCUUUUGGGAUAUUCAUUUGAGGUAGUCUGCAAUCCUGGAUUGGAGAAUAAGGCAGCCGAUGCUCUAUCUAGAACACCCCGUAUAGUGCACUUAAAUCAAAUAUCAGCCCCAACACUACUCGAUUUAGUGGUGAGUCAAGAAGAGGAAAAGAGGGAUCAAUACCUACAGGAAAUCCAGAAGAAAAUAGAAAGAACAAAAAGUGAAAGUUCCAAACUUUUCAGUACAGCAAGGGGUAUUGAAAUACAAAGGAAGGUUGGUGCUGUCAAAAACAUCCGUUCUACUACCCACUAUCAUGCAUACCUAUCAUGAUUUUGUCUUUGGAGGACAUUCAGGGUUCCUAAGAACGUACAAGAGGAUGACCGGAGAGAUUUACUAGGAAGGAAUGAAGAAAAACAUAAAGAAAUACUAUGAAGAAUGUCUUGUAUGCCAAAGGAAUAAAACACUUGCAUUAUUACCUGCUGGAUUGCUGCUGCGCACUUGAGAUUCCUAACACAGUGUGGUCGGAUAUUUCCAUGGAUUUUAUAGAUGGACUUCCAAAAUCAGCUGGAAAAGAAGUGAUUUUUGUGGUUGUAGAUUGUCUGAGUAAGUAUGCACAUUUUACAGCUAUAAAUCAUUCUUACAUGGCCAGCUUCGUAGCAGAAGUUUUUGUUAAAGAAGUGGUGAGAUUGCACGGUAGCAUGUAUCCGCAGUAAGUUGUAUCGGAUCAAGACAAAAUCUUUAUUAGUCAUUUCUGGAAGGAAAUGUUCAAGUUAGUGGGAACUAAAAUAAAUAGAAGGAAAUGUUCAGGUUAGUGGGAACUAUGCCCAUAUACACCAAGUUCGAAUAUAGAACUUGCUUCUUACUGAAAAAAUAAUGAUUAUGGGACUUGCUAUAAGGGUAUCCAAUACUCGAAGUAAAUGAAUGAUUACAAAAUGAUUGUUUCCUCAGUUUGAAGAAGAACAACAAAAAAGAAAAGAAGGAUAAAAAUAAAAAAAAAAACAAACUUUCUUUUUGAAAUUCUAAAAGAAUCCAAAAAGACUUCAAAAGGUGCAACCAAGAAAGGAGGUCAAAGAAGGGCUCUGAUAGACCCCCCUAUCAUACGUCAAUAUAGUCAAAAAAAAAAAGAGAGAGAUCACAAGGGAACACACAUGCGAAGAAGAAAAGAUUUAAAGGAUUGUUAGAAGAAAAGAUUUAAAAAGCUUGUUGGGCGUCGGUUAGAUUUGAGGAGAUUUAGGAGGGUCGUUAGGUGUUGAUUAGAAUAAAUAAGGAUAGGGAGGAAAGAGGAGGGUAUGCUGAGUUUAGAAGAAAAUUGACUCAUGCUCUUCCUUGAGCGAUAGGAUAGCAGAGAGGGAAUUAGAUUGUUUUUCGAAUUGAGUCCUCCUCAAUUUGAGUGUUCUGAUAUUUUGAUUUUCCUUGUAACUCAUUCUUUGAUUGAAGCAAUAAAAGUUCUAAUUGGAUUUCCAAAAGAGUUCUAUCAAAUUGGUAUCAGAGACAGUUUUUUCUGACCAAGAGGAAAAUGAUGGUCCAAACACGAAUGAAGGAGAGAAUGGAGGCGCACGACCAGGAGAUGCAUUUGAUGAGAAGCGAGAUAAGCAAAAUUUCGACAAUGAAAGAAAUAUUAGCCACGAUCAGCGUACAGACAAAGAAGACUCACAAAAUGUUGAUAAUGUUCAUGGAAUCGAUUACCAGAGAGCAUAUCGUUAUGAGUGAGAAAAUGGCCGAGUCGAGUGUGCGAGAGACAGUAUCAACAAUAACGAAUAAGAAGGAAGGCUCGAUCGAAAAGGACCAUGAGCACGAAACAAAGGAUGGAAAGAUAGAAGGAGAAGACGGAGCGAACGAGCAUAAUAAGUUCAAGAAGGUUGAGAUGCCAGUUUUCAACACGGAAGAUCCCAAUUUUUGACCCUUUCGAGCAGAUAGAUAUUUUCAGAUACACAAAUUGACUGAUGCUGAGAAGGUCCUGGUUGCGACCAUUAGUUUUGAAGGCCCGACGCUGAACUAGUAUAGGGCGCAAGAAGAACACGACAAGUUUACCAGUUGGUCGAACCUCAAGGAGAGAAUACUCAUCCGUUUUCAAUCAGCAAAAGAGGGGUCCAUAUGCGGACAAUUUUUUAGGAUCGGAUAACAGACGACAGUAGAAGAAUAUCGAAACCAGUUAUAUAAGCUGAUGGAACCGUUAUCCGAUCUACAAGACAGAGUGGUGGAGGAAACAUUCAUGAACGGUUUACUGCCGUGGAUUAAAGCAGAAGUGGAUUUUUGUCGUCCGGUCGACGUGGCUCAAAUGGUGCACGCGGCUCAACUCGUAGAAAAUCGAGAGAUAAUUCACAAUGAGGCCAACCUUAAGGGGUACGCCCAAGGAAAAUAUCCGCCUCAAGGUUCUAGGCAAAAUACGAGUGCUGCGACGGUGAACGAUAGCGACAAUAAGAGAAAUACAUUAUUUUCGAUGAGAACGAUUACUCUGAGAACGACAUCCAGAGAAGUUAAGAGAGGGGCAGGCAAAGCGAUUGUUAGACGCGGAGUUUCAAGUCAGGAAGGAAAAAGGACAUUGUUUCCGUUGUAAUGAGAUAUAUUAUCAUGAUCAUCGAUGCAAAAACAGAGGGCAAAGAGAGUUGAGAAUGUACGUGGUCAGGGCGAAUGAUGAAGAAUUUGAAAUCAUAGAAGAAGUGGGAGAAAAUGAAUUGUUUGGAAAUCACAUAAGAAGAUCAUGUUGUCAUCGAACUGUCAAUUAAUUCGGUGGUGGGGCUGAACAAUCCGAGGACAAUGAAGGUGAGGGGGAAUAUCAGUGAGCGAGAAGUUUUCAUUUUCAUUGAUUGUGGAGCAACGCACAACUUCAUCUCCGAAAAGAUAGUAAAGGAGUUACAACUGGCCACGAAGGCAACGUCGCACUAUGGUGUAAUCUUGGGCUCGGGGGAGGCGAUAAAAGGUAAAGGAGUAUGUGAGGACGUGGAAAUCAAGUUGAACGGGUGGAAGGUGGUGGAAAAUUUGUUACCCUUAGAAUUGAGAGGGGUAGAUGUUGUGUUAGGAAUGCAGUAGUUGUAUUCAUUGGGCAUGACGGAAGUAGAUUGGAGGAACCUCACAAUGACUUUUGUGCAACAAGGAGAAAAGGUAGUGAUAAGAGGAGACCCAAGUUUGACCAAAUCCAGAGUGAGUCUCAAGAACAUGAUCAAAAGGUGGAAGGAUUCGUGAUCGAGUGCCGAGCAAUGGAGAGAGUCUUUGAGCCACAGGAAGAUAACGGGAUUGAAGAAGUAUUAACUACUGAUGAAGCAGUAUCGGUCGUGUUGAAGAAUUUUGAAGAUGUUUCUAAUUGGCCGAAGACACUACCCCCGCAAAGAAAUAUUGAACAUCACAUUCAUUUGAAACAGGGCACUGAUCUGGUAAAUGUUCGACCCUAUAGAUACGCUUAUCAACAGAAAGCUGAGAUGGACAAACUUGUGGAUGAGAUGUUGACAGCUGGAAUUAUCCGUCCCAGCAACAGUCCAUAUCUAGUCCAGUUCUAUUGGUAAUGAAAAAAGAUGGCAGCUGGCGUUUUUGCGUAGACUACCAAGCGCUGAACAAUGUAACCAUUCCAGACAAAUUCCCUAUUCCGGUGGUUAAGGAGCUUUUCGAUGAAUUAAAUGAAGCAAACUGGUUUUCAAAGAUUGAUUUGAAGGUGGGGUACCAUCAGAUCAAAAUGUGUGGAGAAGACAUCGAAAAAGCAGCAUUCCGAACACAUGAUGGACACUAUGAAUUUAUGGUUAUGCCAUUCGGCUUAACUAAUGCCACAUCCACUUUCCAAGCUCUGAUGAACUCAACAUUCAAACCAUUUUUGCAGAAGUUCAUAUUAGUGUUUUUCGACGACAUACUAAUCUACAGUGAGAACUUGGAACACCAUUUGAAGCACAUUGGGUUAGCAUUGGAAAUCCUGAGAAAGAAUGAGUUAUAUGCAAACAAGAAGAAGUGCAGCUUCGCACAAGAACGUAUUGAUUAUUUGGGUCAUAUCAUUUCAAGACAAGGAGUUGAAGUGGACCUUGAGAAAAUCAGAGCAAUCACGGAAUGGCCUAUACCCAGUAAUAUAAGAGAGGUACGGGGAUUCCUAGGCCUCACCUGUAACUAAAGAAAGUUCGUUCAGCACUAUGGCUCCAUUGCCGCACCAUUGAUUCAACUACUUAGGAAAGGGGGAUUCCAGUGGACUGAGGAGUCUAAGGAGGCAUUCCAACAACUACAAAAUGCGAUGAUGACCCUGCCCGUUUUGGCGUUGAAAAAAUUUCAAUGCCACAUUUGAAAUGGAAACCGAUGCAUCGGGAUAUGGGGUAGGAGUCGUACUCGUCCAAGCCAAGCGUCCCAUAGCAUACUUUAGUCAUACGUUAGCCUCAAGAGAUAGAGCCAAGCCUGUACAUAAAAGGGAAUUAAUGGCAGUGGUCUUGCAUGUGCAACGAUGGCGACCAUAUCUGUUGGGGAGAAAAUUUAUUGUGAAGACCGAUCAGAAAUCCUUGAAGUUCUUGUUAGAACAAAGAGUGAUACAGCUUCAGUAUCAGAAAUGGGUAGCGAAGCUAACGGGAUACUCAUUUGAGGUGGUCUACAAACUCAGCUUGGAGAAUAAAGCAGUAGACGCCUUGUCUUGGAUGCCUCCUACAAUUAACCUCGGUAGCAUAACAGCUCCUACAUUGGUUGACAUUCUGGUGACUAAAAAGGAAGUCAAAGCGUAUGAAAAAUUAAGCAAAAUAAUGGAAGAACUACAAGCAAUGGAAGAAGUAACAGAGGGUAAAUUCUCCAUCCGACAAGGUAUGUUAAGAUAUAAGGAUAAGUUUGUGUUGUCCAAAACAUCUACAUUGAUACCCACAAUCCUACAUACUUACCAUGAUUUGGUACUUGUGAGGAAUGUGUAAUAUGUCAGAAGAACAAGUCCCUAGUGUAACGAGCAUACUUGUCCAAGGUGUGUUUACCUAUGGCCGUAUGCUCCGAUUAGCCCCAAUUUACCUUGUCUUUAUGUCUUGCACGUAGCUUAGGUAGUUGCUUUCAAUUUCAAGUCGAUAUGCUUGGGUGUGACGUUUCGGCAUUUUCAUAUGUUAAAAAUGUACUAUAGGGGAGGCAUACCUGUUGAAUCCCUGCCCAAGCCUUGUCGUACUCUUUGCAGUCUAUGCUUUCUUAUUGCAAUUGACAGUCUUCAAUGCUUGUUUUAACAACGUUUUCAAUCAAUUUAAUCAUCUUUCAUGUUUUCUAAAACUAUUUUUCCAAGAACGUGAGGGGAGGUUGAAGUAUGUGUUAAAGUUGUCUGCGAUUUGCAGAUUUUGAUCGGCUGACUUGUUCGCCGAGCUAGAACAAGUGCCGCACAAUCGUUCACAUCGUGUUUGAAGGGUUACACAGUAAAGGAAGAGUAAGAAUUUGAGUGGAGAAACUCCAAUUGGGAUCAACACGUGGGCAACAACAUGGCUUCUCACCAACAUGAGAACUCAAAAGAGACAGCAGAUAUUCUAGAGAAGCCAAUGAACUCUUGGGAUGUGAAUCUGCACUUUCCUGCAAUAGUUUGAGUGUGAAUUAGUUCUCUGAAAACACCUGCAGAGGAUAAUCCACGGCAAAACAGAAUAACUAUAAAAAAACCACUUGCAAGUAGAAGAAAAAGGAAGUACAUUUAUACCUUCCCUGUCAAAGUGAUAUCCCUCAUCAACGGAUAUGCAUUUCUUUCCAGGAAGUAGCCAACAAUUUUACAAACCCAUGGGAGUUUAGGUUGUAAUAAGAAAACAAUUGUGUCCAACAAUAGAGUUGCAGGUGUGUUAGAGUUCACAGGUGCAGCCAAAAGUUGAUUCCUCAAUUGGUUUCUAUCAAGAACAACAUCAAGUAAGAAUAAUUCGGAGGAAAAAUAAAGGCAACUUAUCAUAUAUAUAAAUAUGAUUAGUCUGAAUUCGUUUGCGGAAGGUAAAAAAACCUUUAUGUCAAUUAUAUAUAUCUGAACAAAAUCUAAGAAAUAUAUCACUUUUCAACAAAAGAAAUAUAUCAUAUACAAUUAAAGGAUCAUAGCAUAGAAAGCCAACAAAAUCAACAAUGAUAGAUCAAACAUCUGUUUUUCCAUUCAAAACGUUAAAAAGGAUAAGUUUUUAAUAAGGAAUGUUGAAAUGGAAAAAACUAAUUACCUAUUAUGGUGUACAAUCUGGAUGCAAGCAUAUGCAAAUUUCUUAACUCUGUAAUCCACUAAGGCCUUGUUAAGUACAUAAUCCUUGCUAGCGAAAAUGCUCAACAUAUCCCCUAUAUAUGUAAGAGAGAGAAAGGUUAGAAAGUACUAACACUAAGAGAUAUGUGCUAUCAAUUAGAAACACUUUAAGAUGACAUUAUCAAUUAGAAAACCAAGUAUUAAGCAACAUAAGGGAAAAUAACAAACAAGGGCACCACAGUGGUUCAGAAACCAAUCAAUAUUUCCAUUUGUCACUUUUAUAAUAAUUUCCCAAGGGAAAAUCCUCAUAAUAAGCUUGAGUACCACCUAAUAACGUGUUCAAAUGUUACCAUAAGCAAAAAUGAGUGAUCCUAAAAUUCAUAUGACAAGGAAAGUCGUCAACUAGCAACCGCCAAAUAACAGUUAUAUGGCUAGAAUUAGUUUUCUCCAACUUCAAGAAAAUAAAACAUAUUAAAACAAAAGGAAUUAUGGUGCAAAAUAAUGAAUAUGCCUGCAAAGGUAAGAAGUUUCUGAAGGUAAAAAUGGUCAAUAAAAAACAACAUAUAAUUUGACGUAAAUCAAAGUAGAAUUAUUUCUCGCAAUGAAUUCUCUGCCAAUAAUGGCUAAGAGAAGGGGUAUUUAUUGAGAAUUAGUUGGCCAGGCAGAAAUCAUCUAGGGCAUAGUAUUGUUUUAGGUCUGCGACAUUAAAAACAUAAUGAAUGUGUAAGUCUGGUGGUAGUUCUAUUUUGUAAGCAUUAUCUCCGAUCCUCUUUAGGACACGGAAUGGUCCUAAUUGUCUGUCUUUUAGUUUGUUGUAUGUUUCGGUUGGAAAUCGAUUUUUUCUUAGGUGAAUCAUUACUAAAUCUCCCUUGGUAAAGGUAGUUUGUCUUCUUUUUCUGUCUGUUGCGUCUUUGUAGGACUGAGUUGUUUCUUUUAGGUGAUUGUGGACUUCUUCGUGUAAAUUCUGGAUUUUUUCUAUCAUCUUUUCUGCCUCUGAUAGUUAGGGAACUCAACACAUU
RNAcentral lists this long non-coding RNA (45493 nucleotides) under Cucumis sativus (cucumber). Its description in RNAcentral is "long non-coding RNA (CSAT_LNC002348)". Lineage: Eukaryota; Viridiplantae; Streptophyta; Magnoliopsida; Cucurbitales; Cucurbitaceae. The record is from RNAcentral.